Molecule: long non-coding RNA, 60694 nt
Filed under: Solanum tuberosum (potato)
Lineage: Eukaryota; Viridiplantae; Streptophyta; Magnoliopsida; Solanales; Solanaceae
Description: long non-coding RNA (STUB_LNC000165)
Source: RNAcentral
UUUUUUUUAGUUCACUUAGUCGUAUAUGUGUUGCAAGGCACGUGGUAUUGCAUCUUUAAACCUAUUUUAUUAUCACUAGUCGCAUAGGAAACCGAGUCCAUAACUAUACAAUAAGGCAAUUUAUAAGCAUCAUAUAAAUGUUCACUAGUACAUGUAGAAUAUGGGGUGUUACACUUGGAUUGGUAGGCUUAGGUUCCCUCUUCUUGCUAAAUGAAAGCUAGGUUGAAUGUGAUCUCUUGAAUAGGUAGGCUAAGGCAUCCUUUUCUUGUAUUGGUAAAUGUGAUCAUGAAUGGGUUAUCUUGACUUGGUAGGCUUAGGCAUCCUCCUCUUGAAUAAUGAAUGUAGCUUGGCUUAAUGUCUUAAUGUCUUGAAUUGUUAGACCUAAUAUUGGUAGACUUUUCAUAAAUGAAUGAAUGAAUGUCUAGAAUUGGUAGACCUUAUGUUGGUAGCCUUUCUAUAUAUGACUAAUGAGGUAUUUUAGACUAUGCCUUGAACCGGUAGACCUAAGAUUGGUGGACCUUCAUGAUGAAUCUAGAACUCUAUGUGAAUGUAAAACCUUGAAGUGGUAGACCUAAUGGUGGUGGCCUUAUUGUUGUGUGAAAAGAUGAACCUAGAGAUGGUAGACCUAAUUGUGGUGGCUCUCUAUAGGAAGAUCAAUGAGUUAUCCUUAAUGUACCUUGAAAUGGUAGGCCUAUUGUUGGUUGCCCUUUCUUGGUAAAAGUACUUUUGGUCGGUAGGCCUAAUGUUGGUAACCUUCUCAAGUACACUAAUGUAAAUGAAACUACUCCAUGGGAAUGGAGACUAAACAUCGAGUGGAUAUGGCUAAAAUGGUGGAUCUCCCAAUGUUAGGCUAGAGUCCAAUGAACAUCUUUCUUAUCCCAUAACUAUGUGCCUACAUAGGACGUGUACUAGUUCUACCCUAGGCAAGUAGAAAACCUUUCUUCGGUGUAGGGUUACAUGACAUCGGAUUCCAUGAUUUAGCUCUCAUGGUGUAUGUCGGUUAAUGCCUAUUCCCAUCAUGUGAGAUGUGAAUUAUGGUUUCGUAAGGAGUUCUACAAAGUGCGGGGAGUAUUAUGGGAUGCUAUCCAUACAUUGCACGAGUAGGCUUUGAGAGGGGCAUAGUGAAUUCUCUAAGGCUUAAUGACUAAAUGUAUGAAAGUCCUCUAACUACAUGAAUGUGUCCUCAAUAAACCUAAUGAAGAAUGUUGGCUUAAAUGCUUAAAUGUAAAGAUGCAUGCUAUACGUGGAUUGUAUUAUGAGUUACUUCCUUGUCAUGAUUUAUUGUAUAUGAAUGUUCCUUGUCUAUGGUUACUUCAAAAGAUUACUAAGUGUUAGUAGGAGUAUGGGAUGCUACUUUCACAUUUUACAAGUAUGACUUAGAGUUGUCUUAGAUAUUGGUCUUAAUGUGAUGAUGUGAUUCAUCUUAUGUUUAUGUCUCUUAUAUGUUUUAUUGUGUAAAGGUGGGAAGGAUGAAUGGUAAGAUCACUUUUGGUGACCUUAAGGUGGUACCUUAGUGUGGGUGGUGGUAUGGGAUGCUAUCCAUACAUUGCACAAGAUAUAGCUUGAGGGUUACAUGAGGUGGAGGUUCAAGGUGAAGGUAAAGGGUUAUAUGUGACUUUGUUAAAAUGUGAAAAUGUGAUUUGUAUGUUGGUUCUGACUUAUAGUAUGCCUAUUGUAUCAAUGUUCAUGAAGUUUUACCAAAUGGCAUAAAAGCAUGACUUUAAAAAAAAAGUUCCUUUUUAAGCAUGUUUUUGCAUGGUCAUCAUACUUAGUACAUUUUUGUGUGCUAACCCGUAUUUUCUUUACUCUUAUGAAGUGUAGGGAUUGGAACUCAAUUUGAUUCUCCCUAGUGAAGCUUGGAUUAGAGUUCUUCCAAGACAUCUUUGGUAUGUCCUCAUAGAUCGAGGACAAGGACUUUUAUUGUUUCUAGUUCUUUCUUGUUUUGAGACUAUUGUUAAGACUUCGAUUGUAAAGGGACAUGACCCUAUCAUGUUAAGUUUUGUCUAAGAUGGCCAUGUGAGACUUUAUUAUGCCGCUGCUUUAUAAAUGAGUUUUUGAUAGAUUGGUUUUAAAUAUAUUUUAAUUCCGCACUAUUUCUAUCUAUCAAAUGUUGUGAAUGUUAAGAGUCUUGUAUUAGACCCCUUCGGGGUCGAGUACGCCGUGUCGCAUCCGAGGUCUUCACUAGGGUCGUGACAAACUUGGUAUCAGAGCAUAAGAUGUUGGAAAUGGUUUUUAGGGUUAAUGUCUCACAAGCCACGUCUAGUUGAGUCUUGUUCAUCGGUGUGAGUUGCGACACAUCUAUGAGGGAGAGGCCAUAGGACGGUAUAAAGUUACACUUCUUUCAUAUUCUUGAAAUCGUGCCUUAGAGUUUAGUUCUAUAAGUGUCCUUUUCCUAAUCCUUCUAUUGUGUUUAUAGGAUAUGAAUACAAGAAGGACUACCGCAAGGAGGGUGGAAGAGGAUAUUAUUAAUGAGGAAGUUCCUCCCCAAGGUAACCAAGGUCCUCAAGGUUACCAAGUCCCUCAAGAGAAUGAAGUUUCGGUAGGUCCCCCGGACAUGAACAAUGAAGAGAUUAGGAUGGAAUUUUUAACCCUAGCCCGAGCCAUGACGACUCAAGUGAAUAGAGAUAUGGGGCUUAGGGUGAAUGCUAAUGAGAGUGCCAUGGCCUCAAGAUUAAACUUAGUGCGCCUGGUCAUCCUGGAUCGAUUAUCAGGUGGCCUCGGUAGUUUGAAUCUCCUAUAUAGCUUGACACUCUUUCAUCUUGCUCGAUAACUUGAGCAAGAGCAAUGAGACUUAGUGACAAGGUCACUUCGACUGCAUGCCUUAUCAAGAGCUAGAUUAUUUUAAACGAUACAUUUCAGAACAGAUCUCUUCAUGCAGAUACUAUCUAGGGCUUGAAAAAUACCUUGGCUAAUGUAGCCAAUAUAGGGGAUAGUAUCCUCAAUGAUCGUCAUGGCAUGCCCUGCUAACAUCUUUGGCAAUGAUGACACAAAGUAUGUUCAAAUUUGCAUCUUAAUUAGAUUCUUGCCAUCUUUUGGAAAUGGAUAUAUGUAACGACCCGAGAGCACCCCAUAGUCGUUACCGGCGUACUCGACCUCGAAGAGGUCUUAUACAAGCCCUUAGCAUUCAUCAUAACAUGUAUCAUAGAAUAAAAUCACGGAAAAAUUUAAAACAUUUACUUUGGAAGUUCAACUUCACUUUAUAUAUGAAAAAUAGAAUCUAACUUCGUCACAAUGCACCAUCUAGACAUAGAAGUAUCGAAAAUGGGGCUUAGCCCUUACAUCAAUAAGAAGUCUUGAAAAUAGGAAGUACAACAAUGUCUUUCAACAUAAGCAAAGAACAAAACAUAGAAGCUAGAUCAUAGGGUCUUGUCCUCGGACUUGAGGACUCACCAACUUGGGGAAGCAACUCCAAGUGUCUUGAGAAGUAAGCUUGAAUCCUCAACGUCCAGAACCUAAAUGUUUGGGAAAAGGAAGAAAAUAUGGGUUAGUACAACACACGUACUAAGUAUGGCUACUAUGCAUAAAAACCAUUGAAACAUGCAUAAAAGGACAUUUUAUUCAAAACAUGCUUUUUGCCAAGUAAAUCCAAUAUGCACAUAAUUAAGUAUCAUAGUCCAAACCAACAUAAUAUCAUCCCAACAUGUAGCCAACCCAAGUAAUACUAGUGCAAUGCAAAGAAUAGAAUCCCAUAACCCUAUUCAAAGCCAAGUAUCACAUUAAGCAACCUACUUCAUGCAUACAUUCAUAACAUCAUCUUUCAUCAUAACUUACCAUAUUCAUAAUGAUCAUACAUAACAUAGCUUCAACAUACAUAAGUCAUAAUCAUCACAAUGAUAAGAGAAAACUACUACAACCAUCUCUUAGGAUCCCACAAUGUGCAAUGUGCAAGAGAAGUCCCAUACCCUCCCUUACACUAUGUAGAAACCCUUUAAGAAAAGCCCUAGUAAUAUUUCACACCUUUCAUACCUACAUUUACUUUUACAUUAGGGAAAUAUUGCAAUAACCGACAUAGACCAUGAGAGCUACAUGGAAUCCGGUGUUCUACUCCCACACCGAAAAGAGAGGGUUAACACUUGCCUAAGGUGUAACCAAUCGUACAUAGCUAUCUAGGUGGAUCCACUAAGCUAGAGACCUAUGUGGGCACAUAGUAAAGGGUCAAGGAGAUUGCUUCUAAAAACCCUAACUUACUAAACGUGGGGGUUUCCAUCUCAUGAGACAACACAUACUGUAGGUAAUCCAGACUUGCUAAACAUGAGGAAACCCAUGUGGAUAACCUGACUUACUAAACAUGAGACCCCCAUCUCAUUUACAUGCCCUUUCGGUGCUAAGCAUUUGAUUCCCUUUUGUAAUCAUCUUUAGUCAUCGCAUAAGUUCACAUUAGCCUUUACUAGACUCUUAUGUAGACAUCUUAUCAUAAUAGCUCAUAUGUGUUCAUAAGUGAGUAAUAAUCCUUUCACUUUAGAGACACAUAACAAGUGAGUAAACCUUUCAUUUUACAUUAUACUACAAUCAUGAGAACUACCUUUCAAUCAUAUAGCAAUCAUACCAUAAUAUACAUACAUACUUCAUAGCUGAUUCAAGUGUAGAGGGUUAAGGAUGAGGAAACUAGGUCAUCAACACCACAAUAACACAUUAGGUAUAGCAUCACUACAAUAUAAGUAAUUCACCUUUCAUACUUGAGUUAAAAGGAGAACCAACUUUCAUACCGUCUUGACCUUCGUGGGAUAUCCAUACUUCAAUUACCAAGAAAUUCAUAACCAAUACAUAAUACAAGGUAAUUCAUGAAGUAAUAACAUAAUCAACAUCAAUAUAAGCAAUUGGCAUCUUCCCUUCAUAGCCUUCAAGUCUUCAUUCAAAGACUCAACCCUAAUUUCAUAGAAAUUAUACAUAAACUAGGGUAGAAUCAGCAUAUAAAUUCAUAGCCUUCAUUCAAUUCAUAGCCUUCAUUCAAUAACCAACACAAACUAGGGUUGGAAUUAGGAAAAGAAGGAGAAACAUGGGUCUCAUGGGUAAUUCUUCAAGAAACCACCAAUACAACAUAAAUUCAUCCAUAAUUGUUCAUAUAACAUCAAUAAAGGUCAGUUUAUAACAUCAAUUUUACUUUAGAAAGAAGACCCACGUUUUUGGAUUGAAACCUAGAAAUUGGAGAUUUUAAAAUUCAUCUUGAAGGGGGACUCUUGGGGAAAGGAAUCCCAAGAGUGAUAAGCAACCAUACCUUAUUGACGAAUUAACCACGAAAAUCCAAGUUCAAACCUUGGAGAGUUGAUCUUCUUCUUGAAGCUCCAAUCUUCUUCAAUGGAGUUCUUGAGAAGAGAGAGAGAGAGUAGAGGGAAGGAGGAACUUUAGGUUUAAAUCUUGGGGUUUUGUGUUUAGAGUGAUAAAAGUGAGGUAAAUUGUCUUAAAAAUCAUUAUAUACAUGCCCCCUAGAGUACCCUAAAUACCCCUCACUUAAAUGGACUCUUUAAUGAGGUAAAAAUAGAUUUCUGAAUUUCUGCAUUUUCGUCGAGAAACAAUUCCGCGAUGCGGAGCUGUUCCCUGAAGAUAUUUGGAAUUAAAUUUCGAGACAGUAGAGUCCACGACACGACCGCGUCAUGAACAAACUUUUUGAUCCUUGGGGGAGCAAGUCUGCGACACGCCCUUGUUCCCUCCGAGAGCAAUUUGCAAGUUGCCUUGGCAGCUUGCUUGUCCAAGGUUGGGGUCCCCCUUAGGGUGGUCCCGGGGUAUCGUAUUCGAAUUUUUUGACCCUAUAAACAAAUAUUUACCUAUUUUAACUCUUUUUACAAGAUUAUACCAUCAUAUGACACUCCCAAACCUGCCCAAAACCUAAGGACACACUAGAACACAUUCUUCUCUAGUUUCGAGACGUCGUGGUCGUUUCUUGAUGUUUAGACUUUUACUCUUCAAAACCAAGUCAAUUACAUUAGUAUAGGUUUAUAAACAUCAUUUUAACUAUUUUUAAGUUAUUAUACAUAAGGUGAGGCUCUCUAUCUUAAGUCAUAGAAUUUCCGAGGUGUUACAAUAUAAAUGAUAUACACUUAAUUUCAAAUAGUUGCCUACACAUUUAUUUUAGUGUUUGACCAGUAUCUCCAUAAAAGACUUCUAGAAGUAUGUUCAAAUUUGCAGCAAUGUCUUGGGAUGUUAGGAGAAAGUUCAUGUCCGCUGCACCUAUUGCGGUCCACUAAUCCCUUUGAAUGUCGGAGAACAUUGAAGUAAAUUCUGAUAGUAUCAUAUACUUUUCCCGGUCGACUACAUUCUUGUAGCGACCCUAAAAAUGAAUAAGUUAAACUAAAGCCUAAUGUGUGUGUGUUUGAGUUUGAUGUGAGGUUUCAUGUUGUUUUAUGUUGUCUCGAGCUAUGGCUGAGGCUUUUAGGGGUUAAACGUCAAUGUACGACUCCCCAUGGGCCACUCUAGGGAUCUUUGAGGAGGACCCUAAGCUUAACCACGAAGACCCUAAGGAAAUAAAGACUGCCCAUAAAUGGUGUGAUCUACAGAAGGGGUCCACGCCCCAUGAUGGCCUACAUAGGUCAAGGGGACCCAAACCAUGCUGCAGCCAUAGACCACAGACCAACAACACGAUCCGUCAAUGGACUCACGGUCCGUGAGUCCAGGGUUUGAAUCACCACUGCAAUUUGUCAAGUGGUUCGGCCUUGGUGGUUGUGAAUUGGUAAAUUCAUCCAAAGUCCUAAUAAGUUGGGGGACGGUUAUUUUAAGUGUAUAAAGAUAUUUUAAGAUUAUUAAAAUAAUAAAAUACUAUUUUAGAUUUCAUUAUUCAAAUCCCCCAAAUCAAAACCCAAUUACUCUUUUCUUCAAAAAUCUUCUCUCUAGAACCUCCAUUGAAGAACAAAGAAAGAGAUCAAUGAAAGCUUAAAUGAAGGAUCUUUUCACUUCGAAUUUGGAAUGAUUCUACACCUAAGGUAUGGGAAUUCUUCAUCCUUCGGAAGCUAUCACCCAAGGAGCCCUUUCAAAAGCUUUUAACUCAAAUCUAGAAAGCCCAAUUACCUAGGGUUUCAACUCAACUACAUGGAUUAUGUUUAAAGUUUAUUUUAAAGGUUGAAAUAUAUUUUUUUAUGAUUGAUUUCAUAUGAUUUUAACUCAACUCGUUCAAGAAUCCAUGAGACCCCUAACCCUUGUUAUGGUUCUUCUUUACAUUAUGUGAUGGUUUUGCAAGUUGGUCCAAUUGAUUGGAUGUGAGUUAAUUAUGAUGUAAUUGCAUGAUCUAAGUAUGAAUAUACAUGUAUAUUUAAUUAAUCUAUGACUCUAAUGUGAACUGAUGAGGCCUAGGGUUAUGUCCUGAAAGAGGCAAAUUGUGGGUUUAGAUGUAACCUUCUAAGAAUGGUGAAAUUCUUGAUGAAUUGCCUUAGAUUAGAUCUCCUAGCAAUGAAUUAUUCGUAGGUAAAGCUUGUAGAUAUGAACUAACAUGAUUAAGAGCUUAUAUGAAUAAUCAUGUUUGUGUAGUGUUGAGAUUGAGUUUAUAUGUUCCUAUAUGACUAUAAUUGAUCAAGAAUGAGGCAUGUGUUUAGGUUACCUUGAGAACUAGGAUUACUUAAUAAUCAUGUGAGGCAUUGAUUCAGAGUAAGGAUUCUAACAUGAAGAUGACUCCUAGGGCUUAAAGGGUAAAAGCUAGGAUGAAUAAACUAGGGAUGCCAAGGCUUUAAGAAAGAAGUCAUUAUGUAUGUUAAGUUUCAUAUAGUCCUAUAGUGAAGAGACUUCACCCACAUGACCUAUAAUGUGAUCUCAUUAGUCCAUGCAUGAAGUGAAUGAACUAUUUGAGUUAUGGUUGUAUCUAUUUUUCUAGUAUUGAAGGCCAAAUGUAUUGACUCAAUAUGACUCUUGAAUGCAAUAUAUGUGGAUUAUGCAUGAUUGUGAUAUUAUGUACAUGCUUAUGAACACUUUGAGAAGGGAUUGUCUAUGAUGAUAAUGUUGUUGUUGUUGUUGUGUCAUUGUAAGGACAAUUAUACACACACUCCAUGUUUAAAUAAGAUUAUGACGUAUUUUUGGUGUCAAUUGAAAGGCUAGUUCUCAUGUGCACCUUUACAUACUAUUAUGCAUGAAAUGUACAUGACCAUGAUGAUCCACUUGAAAGGUGUAGGUGUUAGUUAUUGUGUAUGUUGUUGUAUUGAUGCACGAUCCUUCUUCCCCUACACCCUUACAUGAUCUAUGCAUGAAAACACUAUGAUUAUGAUAUUAAUGUUGGGUUGAUUGAAAAGGACACUUUUAUGAACAUGAUGUGAGAAACUUACUCCCAUACUAAGGAUUCUAAGAGUGGAAGGCUAUUCUCACCUAAAGAAUCCACGAGUUACCAUGAUACCAUGAUCGUUGAGUGUUAGGCAUUCUUCCAUAAACAUGAUUAUAAAUUAAAGACUUAACAUGAUUAUUAAAAGGGUAUAUCUCCCUACAUGAACACGUAACAUGAACCAUGACACGAACAAGUAACAAGAACAAGUAACAUGAACAAGAACAAGAACGUGGGUUAGUUACUAUAGUCCCCUUAAGAGGUUCAACCUAGUGUGAAUGGGGGUAUGGGACUUCAUUCAGACAUUGCACAAGUAUGCUUUAAGAGUGGGCAUGGUAGGUUUCCCAUAUGACAUGAUAAAUAUGAGUUAUGCAUGCUUUAUUACGACUUAUGAACAUGAACAUGAAUAUGACUAUGGACUAUACCUAUGACUUCUUAAUGAGCUUUACUUAGUGUGGGGAUAUGGGACUUCACUUAUACAUUGCAUAAGUAGACUUAUAAGGGGGUUGUGGUGUGGUUUCCUUAUACUAUGAAUAUAUGUGAACUUAUGUAUGCAUGAUAUGGGUUGUUGUUAUGAAUGAUGUUACCUAUUAAAAAACAUGAAUAUGAAUGUCUCUUUGUCUAUAUGUGAUGGUUGUGAAUAAGGUCAAGGUAUGUUAUGCAUGAAUACAGUAGCCUAGAAGUGAUACUUAGUGUAGAUAGGAUUAUGGGGUCCUAUCUAUGCAUUGCACAAGUAGAGUUCAAGGUUGAUUAUGUGAUGAUUCUACUAUGAUGAGAUAAAAUUGGUAUUUGUAUAUGCGUAUGAAAUAUGCCUUGUGAUGGGAUAUUAAUUAUGUUGAUGUUGGAGAUUAUGCUUGAUAUUAUGAAUUAUGUUGAUGCUGGAGAUUAUGCUUGAUAUUAUAAUGACAUCUCUUAUGUUAUGAUGAAGUGUAUGUGAGUUGCCUUCUCAGCUGCAUUCUCUAACUAUUUCAAAAAUUAUGUUCUAAAAUGGCAUAUAGCAUGGUUUCAAAUGAGAUGUCCCUUUUUUGCAUGUUUUAAGGAUUUUUAUGCAUGGCUUCCUUACUUAGUACUUUUUGUGCUAACCCCAUCUUUCUACAAUUUCUAUAAGUAUAGGCUUUGGAGAUAUGGGAUGCCAUCCUCGUGGUUAGGUUCAUAGUAGAUCAAGAAGAAGAAUAUUGGUGAGUCCUCAUUGUAUUCGCGGACAAGACCAUAUGUCCUUUAUGUCUUUCAUUUAUGUUUAGAUUUAUGUAAGGGCUAUGUCCCUAAGUUUGUAAUUCAAGAGUUCUAAUUCAAGUGUUAGAUGGUUUGAGACAUAGUGUUAUAGAUUCUCUCUCAUUUUAUAAAGGACUUCGACUGUAAAGAAAAUUUUUAAUUCCGCACUAUUUUCCUAUGAUCUUAUGACUAUGAUUAUGCUAACGGCUUGUAUGAGACCCCUUCGAGGUCAAGUACACCGUGUUACAUCUAGGGGGUACCACUGGGUCAUGACUAACUUGGUAUCAAAGCAUAAGUCUUUGGGAUGGUUUUUUUAGGAUGUUUUAAACCACAUCUAGUUGAGUCUUGUUCAUAAAUGUGAAGUGCACCACAUUUUAUGAAUAGGAGGCUAUCGGAUGUUAGGAAAAACUUCACUUCUUCAUUCUCUAGUCGUGCCAUAGAGUUUAACUCUUUAAGGUCUUUCUCUCUAACCGGUGGUCUUUAGGAUAUGACUACUCGGAGGGUUUAUACUACAAGAAGUGAGGGAGAAGAUAGUGGUUGUUAUGCCAAUUAUGGCUAUGUGACUUGAUAGGACAUGAUAUGCUAAAUUUAUAUGUCACCCUUAGGGUGGAUUGGUAGUGUUAUUGUCAUGCUCCUAGCUGAUGAUAGAACCCGUAUAGCCAUUUUGUUUGUUCCCGAAUGAGCCUAUCCGAGAGUGGAAAGAAGGAAAUUCUAUGCCAUAAGUUUGGAUUAUGUUGUGUCUUAAGGUUGACUUUGAUGGUUGAAUGUACCACCUAGUUAAGGUGAGGAAGAAGAGUGUAAAUGUUGACCAACUUCAAAGAGUUAGUUAUCUUUUAAGAAUGAUCUUAAGCAUGGUCAUUGCGAUUAGGGUGUUUAUAUAAUACCUAUAUAUGAUUGGUUGAUAAAUCCCACCAAAGGUGAUCUUAUCGGUUGAAAUGGUGUAGAAUUGUCUUGAUCCAACCUUAAUAGAAUUGAGAUAGACAAAUGUUUCAUGGAUAAAGCUCUUCUAAGUUCCCCCUAAGAUUAACCAAAAGAAGGUGUCUACCCCAAAAUCUCAAGGACUGAGUAGUAGUGGAUCUUAUGUGAUUAGGCCUAUUUGUGCUUGUUGUGGAAAGAAACAUAAUGGUAAGUGUCUAGCGGGCACAAAGGGUUGCUAUGGUUGUGGUGGAAGUUACCACCUAAUAAGAAAUUGCCCGGUGCUUACGGCUAAGGGAAGAGAGAUGAAGAAAAUUAGGACCCAUUCUCUUCAAGCUAGAGGUAAACAAGAGUGUCCUUCAAAUGUGGCUACCGAUAUGCAUUUUAUGCUUACUUGUAUUUCGGUAGUACUUGUCUUUUGUGACUUGAUAAAUUGGGCAAGAUGAGCUUUUAUGUUCUCCUUAGUGUUCAUGGGUUUAAUUGUGGCCAUAUGUGUUUGUUGGUAUAACCCAACUUAGCCAUUAUGAGUUUUAUGAUGUUUUGGGGGAAUUUGAUGAAUAGUGAUGUUUAUGUGAUGCGUAGAGAUGUUGAGUGAGUAAACUACCUUGAAAGAGGCUAAUAGUGUAAAUUCUCCAUGAUUUAGGAUCACCUUGCGUGAGAGGGGUAAGAGUUGAGUGAUGACUUACUCCGACCUUAGAAUUUCAAGAAAGGUGCUUAGAUGGCAAGGCCGUUGAGUGUUCUAGAUGUUCAUGAUUUGGAUUGACUCGAAAUUCUCACCUUAUGAGUUAUUGUGAGUAUAAAGGGUUUAGUCCCGGCUUGGUUGGCAUGUGACACCUUGAAUGGGGUUGGUAAGGUUGCCUACGAGCUAGACUGCUUAAAUGAGAACCUCUCUAAUUUCGAAUGUACCAAUUAGGAUCUGAGACCGGCAAGUUGAGAAAUAGAAGAACAAGAAAGUGCUUCAAUGAAAUGUAGAGGAGUAUUAUUGUUACGACCCGAGAGCAACCCCUCGUCAUAACACGGCAUACUCGACCCCGAAGGGAUCUUAUACAAGCCUCAUCGCAUAGGUAGUAAAAAUAGUAAGGAAUUUAUAACGUUUUAUUGAAAACCAUACUAUCAAAAAGUCAUCAACAUUCAAAACAUUUAUACCCAAGCGCAAGACUAAGUCUCACAUGCAAUCUUAGACACAAUAUCAAAACAUAAAAGGGGCACAACCCUUUACAAUUGAAAGAGUUCUAAAUGUCUAUUACAUCAAAAUGAAACAUAAGAGAAAACGUCUAAACAUUUUUUCUCGAAUCCACGAGGACAUACCAAGACUUGGAGGAAUAGCAAUCCAAGCACUUCAGCUAGAGAAUCCCACUUAGUUACCCCAACUGUCACGCCCCGAGCCUACACCCUGGGCGGGACNNNNNNNNNNNNNNNNNNNNNNNNNNNNNNNNNNNNNNNNNNNNNNNNNNNNNNNNNNNNNNNNNNNNNNNNNNNNNNNNNNNNNNNNNNNNNNNNNNNNCUGAGCUAGAAUUUAUGGCUGUUCAAAGUUGGCCAGAUAUUCACAUUUUCCAUACUUAACCAAAAUUUCCAAACUUUAAAAUUCUUUCCAAAAAUGUAAAUUUCCAAUUCUAAGCCUCUUCAAUUAUUUCAUAUUGCCGGAUGUUACACCAACCUACACUUGUAGUAUAACAUAGAAAAAGAAUGGGUUAGCACAAUUAAGAACUAAGUAUGAUGACCAUGCAAAAACAUGCUAAAUAGGACAUUUGUUUGAAAGACAUGCUUUCUGUUAUUUUGGUAAAACAUCAUGAAAUACAAGUAUAAGAGCCAUAAUGCUCAUUCAUAACCAACAUACUAAUCAUUAAUCACAAUAGAGACAUGUUCAACAUAUAAACCCAUUACUUUACCUUUAAUCAACCACCAUUCACCGCAGGUAACCCUUAGGCAACACUUUGUGCAAUGUAUGGAUAGUGUCCUAUACUCUCCACACCAAAGCAUCACCCUAAGGUCACCAAAGGGGAACUCACAUGCAACCUUCCCAACUUUAUCAAUAUUCAUUCACAAGAGAUAUGACAUUAUAUAAGGCAUGAUCAUCACAUAAGGACCAUCACCUAAGAUAACUCUAAGUCACACUUGUGCAAUGUUCAAGUCGAGUCCCAUACUACCACUCACAUUAACUGCUCCUUUGAAGACACCAUAGACUAGAUACAUUCAUACUCAACAAGUCAUAACAAGGAAGAAGUUCAUAGAUAUACAAUCCAAGUAUAGCAUGCAUUCUUUCAUUACACAUAUAAGAAUCUAAGUCACUCAUUCAUUAACUUCAUUAAGAUAUAAGAUCAACAUUCUUCAUUAACAAGAUCAUAAGAAUCCAUUUAUUUCAUUUACAUUAUAAGGAACACACCAUGACCUCCCUUAAAUGCCUACUUGUGCAAUGUAUAGAUGGCGUCCCAUUCCACCACCCACCCUAAGUAGUACAUCCUUAAGAAACCCAUAGUUUAUUAACAUUAUUAUAGGGGUAAGCCUUAACCGACAUAGACCGUGAGAGCUUGAAAUGGAAUAUCGGUGUCACCCACACCAGAUAAGGGAUUCCUAGUUGCCUAAGGUAGGACCAUUGUUCUUUAGCCUUAAGUGGAUCCACUAGCUAGACCUAUGUGGGCACAUAGUUUAUGGGAUAAGGAGAUUACUACUAGAUACCCCACCUCAACUUACAGAUGAGCAUCCAUGCCAAGAGAUUGCUACUACGUACCCCACGUCAACUCACAGAUGAGCACCCAUCACUAACCAUAUCCACUCGGUGCUUAGAAUUAUUCCCCAUAGAGUACAUUACAUUCAUUAAAUUAGGUCAUUAUGGGAUAAAUGAUUGUUAAUAGAUACCCCGCCUCAAAUCCUGGAUGAGCAUCCAUCCUAAACCCUACAUUCACUAAAAUGGGAUAUAGGGAUUGUUACUAGAUACACCGCCACAACUCCUGGAUGAGUAUCCAUCCCAUCCCACAUUCAUUCAUUGGAAAGCUCAUAGAUUCAAAGAUGAGUAAAACCUUUCACCUAAGAAUCCCAUUUCAUUCAUUAAAGUACAAUCGAGGAUAACCUUUCAAUAGACUCAAUAUUCAUUAUCAUUAUCAUUAUCAUUUACCUUCCUUCAUUCAUUCAUUCAUUCAUUCAUGUGUGUGUAUGAGAAUAACCUUUCACAUUGACACAUUCAUUCAUAAGUGUUAAUAGAGAGAAAAUAUUCAAUCUUAACACAAUUACCUUCUAAACAUGAUCAUCUUUCAUUCAUUUAGAUCACACACAUGUUUCACAUCACAUUCAUAUAUACAACAUCAUGAUAAUACUUCAAUUCAUCAAGUUAUGCCUUCAAUGCCAUGAUCACAAUGUACAUGAUAAGUAAACACCUCCACCUUUCAAGUGGAUCAUCAAUUCAAGCACAAUUCUACUUUAACAUGAUAUUAAGUCAAACUUGCCCUUCCAAGGCUAUGAUCACAAAUCCUCAACAAUUCACCAUAAUUAAGCAUAGAUGAUGAUACAAUUCAAUAACAAAAAUCAAUUUAUACAUAAAUCCACCAACAUUCAAUCAUGAUCAACACACCCACUUCAUAAGACCUUAUUUAGAAUUUGAAAGGAAUCAUGGGUUCAUAGAGUAAAAUCAUCAAUUAAACAUCAAUAUAAUCAUAAUUUGACAUUGAUAAAGCUUUAAAAUAGUUUGAUGAAAGAACCCAUGAGAUUGAGUGAAAACCUAGAUUUUCAUGAUUUGAAAACACAUUGGAAUUGGCUCCUUGAAUGGAAAAUUAGACAAGGAUUAGUACCACCAUACCUUUCUAUUUCUUUCCACGAAAUCCCCUUGAAAAAAAUUUCAAAACAUUGAAGAAAUUGGCCUUGGAAGCCUGGAGUCUUCAACCUCUAUGGAGGUUCUAGAGAGAGAUCUUUUGGAGGGGAAGGGUAGUUUGAAUUUGGGGUUUUGUAAUAAUAAACUCUAAAAUAGGUUUAAUAAAUUUUAAUACUCUUAAAAUACCUAAAUAAACAUAAAAUAACCGUCCCCUAACUUUAAAAGACUUGGGGUGAAUUUACCAAUUCACCCAUACACUUGCCGAGCCAAAAAACCAGAUUGCAGGUCCAAUCCACAAGUCACCAUCCACGGACCAUGGAUGGAUUGACAGGACCGUACUGUCCCUUUGUGGUUUGUAUAAGAGACCCUCUUUUGGGGGUCUUGACCUACGGAGGCCAUUCAUGUGGCAUGAAUAGACCUACGGGGCGUAGACCCCUUUCGUAGGUCACCCCCUUUUGGCCAACUUUCUAGCUUCAAGGGGUCUUGGGAGGUUAGACUUGGGGUCCUCCUCAAGGACCCUUAGGGUGGUCCUUGGGGAAUCGUACCUUGAUGUUUGUCCCCUAAAAGCCUCACCAUGACUCGGGGUAACAUCAAACACCAUCACAACUCAAGACGAACACAAACGCACACACGUUAGGCUCUAGUUUCACUGGUUCAUUUUUAGGGUCGUUACAAGUAUUUAGUAAGGGUUUUAGUUGAAGGUGAUUACUUGGGAGGCCUAGGGACAAUGAGUUGUCCCAAUAUCCUUAUGUUCCCUUCUAUUCCUCUUCUAGCUCAAAGAUGAUAAGUUCUCCUUGAUUGAUUUCUUGAUUGUGGAGUCUUGGAUGUUAUAUGUGUCCUAUGAUUCCCUUCUCCCUUAGAGUUACUUUUGGUAACCUUGGUACGGUUUGGAUGCAUGGUUAAACAGACCUCUAUUAGAGCCCGGUAAGGUUAUAAUGAGUCUUGGUAAUGCAUUGAGUGUGUUGAAAGGAGUAGUAUUUGAGGUGUUUGUAAACAAGGGGCUUACUCCCAACGGGGAGAUCAUGUGCUCUAGUAGCAAAGUUAAUUGAGAGUCCCGAUAUCCUCAUAUUCUCUUUUAUUCCUAUUCUUGCUUGAGACCAAGACUUUCUUUUUGGUCUUGUUCUAUGUCUAGGAGUCAUGAGUGUUCUAGAAAUUCUAUGAUCUCCUUAUGUUAAGCAUGUUUUUGAAACAUUCCUAUUUUGUAUAAACCGAAUUUAUACCAUGACAUACAUAUUUCCCAUGUUGAUGUGCAUUCUAGUAUGGAGAUGACAUAUUUGACUUCAUAAGAUGGUGUGAUGAACAUGCUUUGUUGUGUUUUUGAUGAAAUGGCACUUGGGCUCCAUGUUGAUUGUGUCGAGCUUGCUUUUAAUGAGAAAAUGUAAUUCUUCCUAUGACUAUGUGAUUAAUGUUAUUUAGAAGUGUUGUGUAGGCUCACUCCUAAGGGGGAGAAGGUAUGCCUAAAUAAUAUUGUUGUUAUGUGCUUAUAUGUUGUCAUGACUUCUUUAUAUAUCAUGAGAACUUGUAUUUUUAAAGAAAAUGAGUUUUAUGUGAAAUGUUUCCCUCAUGUUGUGGUGCUUUGAGUAAGAGUUGCCUAUUGUACUCCAUGAGAAGAAUAAAUGUACAUGUUUUAGUUAGGAGAUAGAAGUUCCUCCUCGAACAUGACAAGUAAUGAGAAUCUCAUGCUUACAUAGGUUGUUUAGAUAUAGUUCAUACUUUCUUCUAUUGCAUUGAACAUGUUGAGUUGAAGUUGAUGUUUCCUCCUUGCGUAAGUGCACAUUGUGAAUAGUAUAGUUUGAGUUGUGCAAUAUUGUGAUGUUUCGUGCAUGAUUGGGCAGCUAGUCUUGAGUCAUUUUUCCCUUAAUGUGUUUAUAGUGUAACUUGAGAACGAAUGUUCCUAAGUAGGAGAUAAUGUAACGACCAUAAAAAUAAAUAAGUUAAACUAGAGCCUAACGUGUGUGUGUUUGAGUUUGAUGUGAGGUUUGAGUGAGGUUUCAUGUUGUUUUAUGUUGUCCCGAGCUAUGGUUGAGGGGUUAAGGGGUUAAACGUCAAGGUAUAACUCCCCAUGGACUAUCCUAGGGGUCCUUGAAGAGGACCCUACGCUUAACCCCCAAGACCCCAAGGAAAACCAAGACUGCCCGUAAAUAGGGUGACCUACGAAAGGGGUCCACGCCCCGUAGGUCCAUCCACUCCUCGUGGAUGGCCUCCGUAGGUCAAAGGGCCCAAAACCAUGCUACAUCCCCAGACCACGAACCAACAGAACGGUCCAUCACCAGACUAACGGUCCGUGAGUCCAGCACGCUUCUUUAAUGGGCUCACGGUCCAUGAGUCCUGGGUGUGAAUCACCCCUGCAAUAUGUCAAGUGGUUCAGCCUUGGAGGGGUGAAUUGGUAAAUUCAGCCCAAGUCCUAAUAAGUUGGGAGAUGGUUAUUUUAAAUGUAUUAAGAUAUUUUAAGAGUAUUAAAACAAUAAAAUACUAUUUUAGAUUUCAUUAUUCAAAUCCCCCAAAUCAAUACCCAACUACUCUUCUCUCCAAAAAUCUUCUCUCUAGAACCUCCGUUGAAGAACAAAGAAAGAGAUCAGGUAAAGAUUGAAGGAAGGAGCUUUUCACUUCGAAUUUGGAAGGAUUCUACACCUAAGGUAUGAGAGUUCUUCAUCCUUGGGAAGCUAUCACCCAAGGGGCCCUUUCAAAAGCUAUUAACUCAAUUCUAGAAAACAUAAUUAGCUAGGGUUUCAACUCAACUCCAUGGAUUCCUUUUAAAGUUGAUUUGAAAGGUUGAAUUAUGUUUUUUUAUGAAUGUAUGAUUGAUUUCAUAUGAUUUUAACUCAACUCCUUCAAGAAUCCAUGAGACCAUCAACCCUAGCUAUGGUUCAUCUUUACAUUUUGUGUUGGUUUUGCAAGUUGGUCCAAUUGAUUGGAUGUGAGGUAAUUAUGAUGUAAUUGCAUGAUCUAAGUAUGAUUCUACAUGUAUAUUUGACUAUUAUAUGAUUGUGACGACCCGGGCUACCCCCUAGAAGUAACACGGCGUAAUUGUUGUCGAAUGCGUCGCAUACAAGCCCUUAGCAUUUAUUAUCACAUAAAGACAUAGAAAAAUUAAAACAUUUACAAUAGAAGUCAACUUAUUUCAUAUAAGGAAAAUAGGAUCUAGACUUGUCUCAAUCACCAUCUAGAACAUUAGAGUACAAAGAGGGACAAAGCCCAUUACAUCAAUAAACUCCCCAACAAUGGGAGAUACAAUAUAGUCUAGAACAUAAAAAGUAAACUAGAAAGUACAAUCAAUAACAUCUUGUCCUCGAACUAUAGGACUCAUCAAGCCUAGGGAAUAGUCGACCCAAGCUUCACCUUGAAGGAAGUAGUAAGUAUCAACGACCGGAACCUACACUCAUAGUAAAGUAGAAAAUAUGGGUUAGCACAAUUAAUUGCAGUAAGUAUGGAUACCAUGCACAAAAAUCCUUAAAACAUGAUUAAAAGGGACAUUUAGUUGAAGUCAUGCCUUUGUUUAGUUUGAAAACCAAUAUGCACAUUUAUGAAGAUACAUAAAGCAAUUCAACAUAUGAGCAACCCAAAAGCCACACUAGUGCAAUGCAAAGGUAAGAUCCCAUAACCCUACCAAAUGCUAAGUAUCACAUUUGGCUCACCAACAACAUACAUAUCUUACCAUAGUCAUAAACAACAUACAUAAGAGUGAAGACAUUCAUAUUCAUAACAUUCAUACAUACCUUUUCAUACAUAGUUCAUAAGUCAUCAUACCAUCAUAACAUAAGAGAACCUUACCCUAAUCCCUCUUAGAGCCUACUCGUGCAAUGCAUAAGUGAAGUCCCAUACCCCCACUCACACCAAGUAAACCCCUUAAGAGGUCAUAGUUAAAGUCCACGUCCUUACCAUUGUUCACUUUCAUAUUAACUUAGGCAAAGAUUGCAUUAACUGACAAAGACCAUGUGAGCUACAUGGAAUCCGGUGUUCUAUUCCGAAACCGAAAAGUGGUAUUUUACUUGCCUAAGGUAGAACGUACAUUCUAGCUAUUUAGGUGGAUCCACUAGCUAAGACCUAUGUGGGCACAUAUUUAUGGAACAAAGAGAUUGCUACUACAAACGCAGACUUGCUAAACGUAGAAGGUUUCCAUCUCAUGAGAUAUCCUACAUUGGGAGGCUGGACUUGCUAAACGUAAAAGGCCUCAUCUCACUUUCAUGUCCUCUCGGUGCUACACAUUAUUCCCUUUAAAAGUCACCAUUAGCCUUUACUUAGGUUCAUAGUAAUAAGAGAGAGUAUUAGACACUCAUGUCAACAUAUCAUCAUAAUAGCUCAUAGGUUCCUUAAGUGAGAAUGCUCCUUUCACUUUAGAAACACAAGCAUGUGAGUAAACCUUUCACAUUUUAGUCGGAUUGUGAUAAUGGGAAUGUCCUUCCAACCAACCCAACAGGUUCAUUAUAAGCAUACACACAUUCUUCAGACAUAAUCAAGUGCAUAGUGUAUAGGGAUGAAGGAUCCUACAUCAAUACCACAACAUUAGAUAUGGGGUCAUUACCAUCCAAGUAAAUCACACACUCAUUUAGAAUUAACAUCAACAUAUACAAACCCUAGACAAUUGCCCUUCAAGGCCAUGAACAAACAUCAACCCUAACUUCUUGAAUUACCACAUUAGAUAGAGAGAUUUCAUGAUUCAACAACUUAAUAAACAUAAACAUAAUCAAUUAUCAACUUCCAUGGCCUGUCAAGUCACAUCUUAGUUCACAAUUUAGGAAGAAAAGGGAAACUAUGGGUCCAAGAUAGACUUUCAUCAAAAACCAUCAUGACUACAACAAUCUAACCAUAAACCAUCAUAAUUAAUCGUAAUAAAUCAUAAUUGAUGAAUAGAAAUAGUUAUGGAAAAAGAACCAUGUUUAGAGUAAAACCCUAGAUUUUGGAAGUCAUAGAAACACACUUUGGAGGGACUUCUUGGGGGAUAGCUACCCAAGAAUGAAGAGCAUCCAUACCUUAGGUUGAAUCCCUCACGAAUUUGGAGAAGAAAGACAUGUUCUUGAGUCCCUAGCUUGAGCUUCGUCUUUGUUCUUCAAUGGAGUUUAGAGAGAAUAUUUUGAUGUUCUUGGAUUUCUUCUUUUAUUAAGUGGGAGUAACUAAAUUUGAGUGAAUUUGACCUUAAAAAGUAUAUAUACUUAUUAGGAAAAGUGUGGAAAAGUGUUGGUUCGAGUUUUGGAAAGAUUAGAUAAAGACCCCUACUUAAGACUUGAAAAUUAUGGACUUCACGCUCGAGCUCGCCCAUUGGACCCUCUUGGCUCGCCAAGUGAACCCUUGGCUCGCCCAAAUUUCUAGUGAGCUCCAAAAAUGGGCAGCUCACUAGGCGAAGGGAGAGGUCUGUUGGGCGGAUCACCAUCCCAUUGGGCGACCCACGACCUAGCUCGUCCAUUUCUCCAAUACUUAGGCUAAGUGGGACAGCCUACUAGGCGACCCAAGUGCACUUUGGCGCAUCACCAAAGAACUUGGGCCACCAUGCUGCCCUUCGCCAACCUAUCCAAAGAGAGAUCAAGUUAUCAGUCACCCAUCCUAGAUAGUGUAGGUCCCCAACAUCACCCUAGAUGUUUACCUCCCUUACUUUAGCUUUAGUUUGGUCUAAAACAUCCCCUUAAGUUGCAUAAACACACACAUUAGCUCUAAUUCAACCUAGACACUAGCUUCAAGUGAUGCCAUCCCACACGAUGAAGCUCUAGUCUAGCCUAUUGAUUUUCCGGGUUGUUACAUUAUCUCCCCCUUUAAGAACAUUUAUCCUCGAAUGACUUUUUAAACGUAUUAAGGGAUUAAAGACUCAAAACUAGCAGCCCAUCAUACAAGACAUAUCUAUAAAAUGCACAAAUCAUAGGAGGAACCAUUGACUCCCCAUCAUAAGCUCAAUGCAACACAAAAAGUGGGAACUACAUCCACAAUCUCAUUAUGCACCAAAUUUACCAUUUUAUAUAAACAUAGGAGAAACUACCUUAUCAAACACAAGCAAGCUCAAUAUAACAAUAUUAAGAAAACAUGCUAUUUCAUCACAACCUAGCUAAACAUGUUCAUCAACUCAUCUCAUGAAGUCACAUAUGCCAUCAUCAUAAUCAAAAGCAAUUCAACAUGAGAAACAUAUAAUCCGUGAAAGCUCAAUUUAUAAAAAUCAUGAAUUUCAUCAAGAACAUGCCAAAUACAAGGAAAAUCAUGCAAAACUCAUACAAUAUACAUGACUCCCCAAAACACUAACAACUCAAGAGGAAUGUAGUUACCUCAAGUUUGAAUAGGAGAAGGAGGAAAAAGAUGAGGAUAAUGGGACAUGAUAUCGGCUUCGGCCUCCCAUGUAGCACCCUCAACUAAGUGAUUCCUCCAUAGAACCUUAACAUAAGUUAUUUCCUUGUUUAUCAACCUCUUAACUUGCCGGUCCAAAAUCUCUAUAGGAACCUCUUCAUAAGAAAGACUUCCAUAAACUCCUAAACUCUCUAAAGGAAGGAUGUACACCGGAUCACCGAUGCACUUCUUACGCAUGGAGACAUGAAACACCGGGUGAAUCGGAGCUAAUUCAUUGGGUAUGUCCAACUCAUAUGCCACCUUUUCGACACGUUUCAAGAAUUGGUAUGGGCCCACGUAUCGGGGACUUAACUUCCCCUUUUUGCCAAAUCUCAUAACAUCUUUCAUAGGUGAAAUCUUCAAGUAGACCCAACCACUAAUUUCAAACUCUAGAUCCCUCCUUCUAUUAUCGACUAUGGGCCAUUUUCAACCUUUCUCUAAUAAGUCGAACUUUUUCGAUGGCAUCAUAAACUAGUUCGGGACAAACUAGAGCAAACUCACCUACUUCAAACAAACCCACCGGUGAUCUACACCUUCUACCAUAAAGUGCUUCAAAUGGAGCCAUGGCGAUGCUUGAGUGGUAACUAUUGUUGUAGGAAAAUUCUAUCAAAGGGAGAUAGUCAUCCCAACUACCUCUGAAAUCAAUUAUACACACCCUUAACAAGUCCUACAAGGCUUGAAUGGUCCUUUCCGCUUGACCAUUCAUUUGAGGGUGGAAAAUGGUACUAAGUUUAACAUUUGUACCAAACCCUUUUGGGAAUGCUUUCCAAAAAUGUGAAGUAAAUGGAGUACCCCUAUCCGAUAUGAUAGUUAAGGGAACCCAAUGCAACGUCACAAUUUCAUUAAUGUACAACUUGGUGUAGUCUUACACCGAGAAUAAAGUCUUAACCGGAAUGAAGUGGGCCGAUUUAGUCACUCUAUCAAUAAUGACCCAAAUAGAAUCACGUUGCCUUUCAGUACGAGGCAACCCCACCACAAAGUCCAUAUUAACAUCCUCCCACUUCCAAGUACGAAUUUCUAUAUAUUGGGACAAACCUCCGAGUUAUUGGUGUUCAUCCUUAACUUGUUGACAAUUCGUACAUUUGGCUACAAAGCCCGCUAUAUCCUUUUCCAAACCAUUCCAUCAAUAGACUUCCCGUAGAUCACGGUACAUCUUGGUGGCUCCUAGAUGAAUAGAAAAUCGCGAAUCAUGAGCUUCUUCGAUAAUUUGCUCCCUUAAGCCAUCAAUAUCCGGGACACAUAAUCUACCGUGGUACCUAAGUAGCCCAUCUCCCCCUUGGGAGAAAGCCUCAAAGGAUGAUUCGGAACUAUAAUGAACCAUAAACCCACCCUUGGUGGAAUCCACUAGUUGGACACCUAACCGGGCCAACGUAUAUACAUCACGAACCAACUCCUUCUUCUCAUCUUCUACAUGAGCCACACUUCCUAUGGACAAUCUACUUAGAGCAUCCGCAACCACAUUAGCUUUUCCGGGGUGGUAAAGGACACUUAUGUCAUAAUCCUUCAAGAGCUCUAACCACCUUAUUUGUCGGAGAUUCAAAUCUUUUUGGCUAAACACGUAUUGAAGACUCUGUGGUCGGUAAACACAUCUACAUCCACUCCAUAUAGAUAGUCUCUCCAUAUUUUAAAGGCAAAAACCACCGCCGCUAGUUUGAGAUCAUGUGUCGGGUAAUUCUUUUCAUGUGUCUUGAGCUGACUUGAAGCAUAGGCAAUUGCCUUACCAUUUUGCAUAAGGACACACCCCAAACCUACUUAGGAAGAAUCACAAUAUACCACAAACCCAUCGGUACCAUCCAAUAAGGUCAAUACCGGAGCGGAGGUGAGUCUAUCAUUUAAUUCUUGGAAGCUCUUUUCACAAGCCUCCGACCACUCAAAUUUAGACUUCUUUUGGGUCAAGGCCGUUAAUCGAGAAGCAAUAGAUGAGAAGCCCUCAACAAAUCUCCUAUAAUACCCGGCCAAACCGAAAAAGCUUCAAAUAUCGGUGGUACUUAGAGGUUUAGGCCAACUCUUAACCGCAUCGCUUUUCUUCGGAUCAACCUCUAUAACCAUACUCGACACAAUGUGUCCAAGAUAAGCUACCGACCUUAGCCAAAACCCGCACUUGCAAAAUUUAACAUAAAGUUGGUGGUCCUUGAAGACUUGCAACACUACCCUCAAAUGCUUCAUAUGAUCACCCUCACUUCUUUAAUAGAUCAAGAUAUCGUCAAUAAAGACGAUCACAAAAAAUUCAAGAUAUUGCCUAAAUACCCUAUUCAUAAGAUCCAUGAACGCCCCCGGGGCAUUUGUUAGACCAAAAGACAUAACUAGGAAUUCAUAGUGACCAUAUCUUGUAUGGAAGGCCGUCUUAGGAAUUUCAACCUCGCCCACCCUAAAUUGGUGAUAACCCGACCGUAAGUCCAUCUUCGAAAAGUAACCAGCCCCUUGGAGUUGGUCAAACAAAUCUUCAAUCCUAGGGAGUGGGUACUUAUUCUUUAUAGUGACUUUGUUCAAUUGGCGGUAAUCUAUACACAUUCGAAGUGAACCAUCUUUCUUUUUCACAAACAAUACCGGGGAACCCCAUGGAGAUAUGGUUGGUUGAAUAAAAUCCUUAUCUAGAAAAUCUUUGAGUUGUUCCUUGAAUUCCUUCUAUUCGAUCGGAGCCAUCCGGUAAGGGAGAAUUUAUAUGGGUUGUGUGUCCGGCAAGAGAUCAAUGCCGAAGACUAUUUCCCGUUCGAGAGGGAUUCCGGGCAAGUCAUUAAGGAAGACUUCCGGAAAUUCCCUUACUACGGGGACCGACUCUAAAGGAGGAGUCUCUGACUCAAGGUCCUUAACUCUCACAAUAUGAUGGAUACACUCCAUAGAAAUCAUUUUCCUAGAUUUUAGAUAUGAAACGAAACGACCUCUAGAUAUUGUGUUUCCCUCCUUCCAUUCUAAAACGGGCUCAUUUGGAAAUUGAAACUUUACUACCCAAGUUCUACAAUCAAUGGAAGCAAAACAAGCAUGCAACCAAUCCAUCCCUAAUAUGACAGCAAAGUCCAACAUAUCUAGUUCUACCAAAUUAACCAACGUGACUCUUUUAGACAAGGAAAUAGGACAAUCCUUAUAAACCUUUCUAGAAACUAUUGAGUCACCUAUGGGAGUAGAAAUUGAAAAAGGUUCCUCUAACUCGACGGGGAGUACAUCAAAUUUCAUAGCCACUAAUGGGGUAACAAAAGAUAAAGUGGCACUGGGUCUAAUUAUGCAUAAACAUUAAUGGAAAAUACUUGUAACAUACCGGUGACAACAUCCGGAGACCCAUCUUGAUCACUUCUAAAUUAGAGAACAUAGAAGCGAUUCUUCAUGGGAGCAUCGAAAUUUGAGCCACUUGGAGGGACUUGCUUGCCCUCUCUCCCUUGAACGAUUAGCACAGGAAAAUCCCUCUUUGUGUGGCAACUCUUACCACAACUAAAACACUCAUCCGUGCCAACAAGGCACUUGCCAUCAUGCCUCUUGCCACAUUUCGCACAAGUAGGUCUAUCAACAAAAGAACCACCACCACUACCACCUUGUGACUUUUGAGUAGGCUCCCUCUUUUUGUUGACCUUAGGAGUUCUAGAAGUCCCUUGAUUAGAAAACCUCUUCUUAAACCUUGGUUUGCCUUGAACCUCAAAUCUACCUUUAGAAUAAUUACCUUCAUCAACUCUUGCCCUCUUCACUUCUCUACCCAGUAGCUUCAGCUUUUGUUCCUCGAUUUGUCCGGCAUGAACUAUCAUACGUGAGAUGUUCAUGGUUGGAAUAAGCAUCACUGACCUACAUUCAUUCACCACAAGAUAGGAUAUCCCCAUAACAAAUUUGUUCAUUUUUGCUUUGGAGUCCUCCACAAAGGUUGGGACAUAUUAAGACAAGUGUGAACUGGAGGCAAUAUUCCUUCACACUCAUACCUUCUUGGCGGAGGUUGAUAAAUUCUUGCAUCCUCUUCUCCCUUAACUCUAGGGGGGAAAACCUAUCAAAGAACGCCGUCUUCAAUACUCCCCAAUCAACCGGUCCCUCUCUAAUGCACAUCUCUUACUUCCAUUACUCAUGCCACACUUGAGCCACGUCCUUUAGUAGGUAGGUGGCUAUUUCUACCUUCUCUCUUGGAGACACUGCCAUAGCUUCAAGAACCUUAAACACCUCCUCAAUAAACCCUUGUGGGUCUUCAUCUACAUUGGAACCAUAGAAUGUAGGGGGAUUCAUCCUUGUGAAAUCCCUUAUCCUUGAAGCGGUAGUACUUGCAAUGGGGUUCACAGGGACCCUAGCAUCUCUAGUGACUUGAGCCGUAAGAGCAUGAGUUAAGGUUUGGAGAGCCAUCUGUAUCUCCACAUUGGUCAUGGCCCACUCCUCAUUAGGAUCUUGAGGACCUUAGACCCCUUGAAGACCUUGGGGAGGAACUCCCUCAACAUUAGCAAUCUCCUUUUCCACUCUUUUUGCAGCCGCUCUUCUUAUAUUCAUAUUCCUAUAUGUAUAUGAAAAGGGUUAGGAAAACGGACUUCAUAGACUAAAAACUCUAAGGCACGACUAAUGAAUAAUCAAAGAAGUGAAAAGUUCCUAAGCAUCUUAUAGCCUCUCAUUCAUAAGGGUGACAUGCUUCACAAUUAAGAACAAGACUCUACUAGACGUGGUUCAUGAGACAUUAUCCUAGAAUCAUUCUAUAACCUUAUGCUCUGAUACCAUGUUUUUCACGACCCGAGCUAUCCCUUAGAAGUAACACGACGUAAUUAACCCCGAAAGGGUCACAUACAAGCCCUUAGUAUUCAUCAUCACAUAACGACUUAGAAAAAUACGAAAAGAAUUAAAAACUCUUACAAUAAAAGUCAACUUUUUUCAAAUAAGGAAAAUAGGAACUAGACUUGUCUUAAUCUCCAUCUAGAACAUAACAAUACAGAUAGGGUGAAAGCCCUUUACAUUAAUAAAGUCCCCAACAAUGGGAAAUACAAUAUAGUCUAGAACAGAGGAAGUAAACUAGAAACUAGAAUCAAUAAUAUCUUGCCCUUGAACUUGAGGAUUCACCAAGCCUAGGGAAUAGUCGACCCAAGCUUCACCUUGAAGAAGGUUAAUGUAAUAUGAAUUACGUCAAGGCCAUUUAUGAGAAGCCACACUCAAGACCUUCGGAGGAUUCAAGGUCUAUUCAUGAAGAUUGAGGUGCUUGUGAUAGUAUUGACAGCAAACAAGGGAUUCCAUGCCUUGAAAGUUGUAGCUGGAAAUUACGGCGAUCCAGAACGUGGCUAAGCGGAACAACCAUGCAUGAAGGCUCACCAACCAGGUUGGCGCAUCGCCCAAUCCAGUAGGCGACCCGACCCAGCUCGCCUUUGGCAUUUCGGGUCACUUUUGGGCCCUUUUAUCUUAACCAUAUAAAUAGCUAGCUUGGGUUCAUUUUAGACGUCUGAACAAAUCUAGGCUUGGCUCUUAUACCAAAUGAUGUAAUUCUAACAGGUAAAAUCACAAUAAUCAGUGGAAAACAAGAAAGAUAGAAGAAGAGACAAAAGAUAAGAAACAAUUGGAAACUAAAGGAUGUAUUAAAUCCAAUAACCUCCAAUCUAGAUCCUAACAAGCACCUAAUCAAGAUAAAAUAUAGACACCCACAAGAGGAAAUAAAGAGCAACCUAUGGGUAUGUUAAACCCAAAGACCUCACUUCGUUAAUCUAACAAGAAGCACCUAAAUCUUACGAAGACCUCAAGGGAAUCGACAUCCCAAGCUACCCCCAUUUCUAAAUAAGGUUCAAAAAGCUUACCAAGCUUUCAAACACUCACACAAGGAGUUUAGGUUUACAACCAUAAUAUUCAAAAUCAUUCUAAUACGCAGUCUAGAUCCUUUUUCAGUCUGUGUAGCUUUGUCUUGAGAUGUAAUCUGCAAUAACAUUCUUGUUAGUACAUAUUAUUUCUAUUGUAAAUGUAAAAUUUAAUAUAUUUAUUACUAGUCUUCGUAUCUCUUUUGUUGUUACUGAAUCUUGUACCUUUCGAAACAUAUAUAGAAAUAUUAGCAAAUAUAGAUGAUAUAAAAUCUACAGAAAUAAAUACAGGAGAUAUUAAGGAUACAAAAGCAAGCACAUCAGGAGUUAAAAACCCAAAAGAAUUAAAUCCCAAUUAUUAUUCAGUUAGUUAUGAACAAUCUGAUAGGUACGAUAGCAUAUGGAAUAAAAGAUUAAAUAAAAAAUGGACACCAACCACAACAACUACUCGAAAUAAUAAUUUUUUAGAUCUGUUCCUUUGUAAUAAUAUUCUCUAAAUAUGCAUGUAUAUUCUUCUAUAUAACACAUGUUACAUAUUGCUAAUUUUAACAUUAAAUUCCUGUUUAACUGUUUCUCUUUAUUUUGUUCUUCUGUUUCUGUGGUUGUACUACUAAAUUCAUUUUUGAUAGCUAUUUCAUAUUUAUUUAAUAUAUCAAUUAGUGUUGUUGCUAUUUCACCAUCUAUUAUUUUAUUAUUUCUUAGUGUUUUUAUACUUUCUUUUGCUCGGUUUUGUAACCAUAACUUUACUGUUCCUAUAAGUGUUCUUUCUAUAUAUCCUGGUACUUCUGUCAUUCCUAUUUUAUUAUCUAUUAAUUAUUUUGAUAUAUAUCCUACCCACAAUUGGAUUGUUUAUUUAUAUCUGUUAUGCAGUAAUUUACCAAUUUUGUGGAGCUUUUCAGGUGUUAAUUAUGUCACUUUUCAGGUGUUAAUUCUGUCAUAAUACAUUUUUUCUAAGGGUAUUAAUAUUAUAAUUUCUUUUAUAUUUUCUAUAUACUGUAUAUCUUGGGUUCGUUGAUAUGUUUCUAUAUUUUCUUUUAUCAGAUUUCCUAAUAAGGUGAUAUCUGCAAUAGUUGCUUGCCAAUAUUGAAGGUAUUCAUAAUUUAUCAUUAGUCUGAGUAUUCUAAUUCUAAAUCAUAAAUGCUAAUUCAUUCUAGAUCAUAUAUUUCAUCUAUUUCAUACCAUGUCUGAUUCAUUAGCUCUUCAUCUUAAGGGUCAAAUAUUUUUUCCCAUAUCAUCCUUCUUAAUUCAAUUAUUUCUAUAUCUUUUAGUAUAUAUAAAAUCAGUGUUUCAUAAGCUAAUAUCAUUUCAUCAUGUAGAUCCAUAUUAAUGUUCUGUUGUUUAAUAAAAAAUUCCCUUAUACCAUAUGCAUAAUAAAUACUAUCCUUAUUAGAUUACUAUAAACUAGAUUAUUUUCAAUCAUGUGGUCUUGUCACUAUUAACAUCGUACUUUCAAAGGUACUCUCUUCCUAACAGCGCCUCAACUCUGUUUACUCCCCUCACGGCUUCCUUGCCUAUGGUUUCAACUUUAGGAUGGCAUAGUUUUGGAAGUUUUUUCUUUUUUCCUCAUGUUAACAAACUAGAAAACAUGCUUCAAAUAAUUCUAGUAUAAUAAAAACUAGUAUGAACUUAUUUAAUCAUGCUAUGAUAUUCAGGAAUUAACAGAUUUAGCUAUGCAUAAUCAUAAAUAGAUAUACCUAUUUUUCGAUUAGAUCUGGUAUAUUUUGCUCCAUAGCUUAGAUUAGAAACUUGAUAUUUAUUUGAGAGUAUUUUUGUUUACAAGAGGCUUGCUUUCCGUCGAGAAAGUCUUGUCUUAGAUGUGCCUAAUGGCUCUCUAUUUAUACAAGUAGAGAUGCUUCUAUUAGUAUUUCUACUUUACAUCUGUCCUAUACUAUUCCUACUUUGUCUCCUAAUAAUUAUUACUUUACAUCUGCACUACACUUUAAUAAUGCACACUAAUUUACACUUGUCUACUAAUAAUGCACACUACUUUACACUUGUCUACUAAUUUACAUAAGAUUCUUGAUCCCACGAACUUAUUUUUACAAUAAGACAAACAACUUUACUUUAAUUUAUCUUUAUCUCAAUCUUGUUUUUUAUCUUGUCUGGUGGCUCUUUAUUCUAGCUGGACAGCUGGACUUACAUUGUCUUCUCCAUAGCAUUUUGAACAUUGAUGAUCUGGGUAUCUGUGUCGAAUAGCUUUGCAAUAAUUUGUCAUUAUCUCUGGUGAAAUAAAGUUCUUCUGUAUUGCUCUUGUAGUUGGCUGUUGUUCUGGUUUCAAUAAGCUUAGUAUCCAUUGUCGUAUUUCUUCCAUAUCUGCUUCUCUAAUUUCUCUGGAAUUUGAAUAUAUCAUAGUUUGUUCUCUUGCAUAAUAGCUUCAUACUGAAUUUCCAUUUAAAUAAUUGGUUGUUAACUCGUUCAAAAUAGUAGCUAUUCCAAUAAUUCGCUUUCUUGCAUAAAACUUCGGUAUCUCUAUCUUUUGUAUCUCGUCCUGUUGUUCUAUUUUUUCUCGUAUUAUCAUUUCUCUAGUCAGUCCAAUUUUUAUAACCUGUAUGAUAGGUUUAAUUUCAUCGUACAAUAUUUCUGCUGGUGCUGAGUAGAAUUUUAUAUAAAAAAGUGUUCCUUUAGUUAUUCUUUUAUAAUGCAUAAAUGCCUUAUGUAGUUCUGGUAUUGUUGAUAUCUCAUCUCUUGUUUGGGUAUAUACGGUACUUAACAAUCCGUAGUUGUAGCAAGUUCCUACUAGAUUUUUACUUGUUCCUGGUUGUGCAAUCAACUUGUUAUAUCCCUGCAAAUUUUGUGUAAUAUAGUCUUCAUAGGGUUUUUUGUAUUCUUGGAUCUUGGAUUUUGGAUUUUGGUUUAGAAAGGUCUGUAUUUUAUGGAUGUUUUCUAUGUAAGCUCUGGUUAUAUGGUUAUAAGUCUUUUUGUUUUGUCCUAGGCUUUCUUUAUAGGUAUUUAGCUGAGGGUGGUAUGAAUAAUGGAUUCUUUUUGUUUUUUUGGCAUAAAUGGUUUUUCGAACAUCUUAUUCAUAUUGGUAUUAACGUAUCUAGUUUUAUUUUCUUCUUUUGUUGCAGAUGCGCUCCCUGUAGCUGCAUGUAACAGAUCAUUAUGGGUUUUUAGGUGUUUCCCAAUGUCACCUUGUAGCUCUGGAAUUUUUAAGUCUUCUGAUCGACUUAGCUCCGCAUGUUUGUAGUCAUGCUGCUGACUUUUUAUUUGUUGUAGCUCUUUGUCAAUAUUUUCUACUUUUGUGCAAAGUAGGUUCAUAGCUUUGAGUAUUUCUUCUAUAGUAUUUUCUUUUUCAGUCUGUGUAGCUUUGUCUUGAGAUGUAAUCUGCAAUAACAUUCUUGUUAGUACAUAUUAUUUUUAUUGUAAAUGUAAAAUUUAAUAUAUUUAAUACUAGUCUUCGUAUCUCUUUGGUUGUUACUGAAUCUUGUACCUUUCUUGUUAUCCACUAUUAUACCUGCGUAUUAUCUGUUCUUACAAUAAAUUUGUUAUAUACGAUGUAUGGUUCAAAAGCUAAUAAACAUUUAUAUAUUGAAUAUAAUUCUUUUCUAUUUAUUUCCCAUUUUAUUUUGGGGUUUGUAAAUGUUCCCGAAUAAUAUCUACAAUGAUGUUCCAUCUUUUAUUUAUUAUAUCUAUAUUUUAAUACUCCUCCGUAGCUUAUUUCACUUGCAUCUGAUUCCACUAUAUAUAUAAAUUCUUUAUUUUUAUCUGGAAAACAUAGUUUAGGUAAAUUUUUACAUAAUAAUUUAUUUUCGUAUUUGUUCUUGGUCUUUAUUGUCAAAAUGACACUCUACGUCUUUCUUUAAUUUCUUAUGCAAAGGUUUUAAGUUUUCUGCUAAAUUAGGUAUAUAUUCUCUCACUUGAUUUACUAACCCUAGAAACGAUUGUAAUUUCUUUUUCGUAUCUAUUUGUUCUUCGGAAUUUAUUAUCUUUUGUACUAUGUGUGUUUGCAUUUUUAUACCAUUUUUAUCUAUUUGUAUUCCUAGAAAUUCUAUUUGUGUUUUCAUUAUUUCUGCCUUUUUCUUACUUAGACUUAUUCCUGAGUAUGUUAUAAUAUGUAUAAAAUUGUCUAGUAAUUUUAUAUGUUCAUCUUGAGUCCUUGAAUAUAAUAAUAUAUCAUCAAUGUAUACUAUGCAAUUUUCUAAUUGGUUAAAGUAAUUAUCCAUGAAAUGUUGGUAUCUCCCUGGUGCAUUUUUAUAUCCAAAAGGUAAUACAUUCCAUUCAUAGAAUCCUUGUGGUACUGUAAAAGAUGUUAACUUUUUAGAUUCUUCUUCCAAUUUUAGAUGGUAAAAUCCUGAUUUACAGUCAAACUUGCUGAAGUAAUUGUAUCCUUGGAUUUGUCUUAUUUUUUAUACUUUGUUUGGUAUUGGGUAAUUAUAUGUUUGUGUUUUUGCAUUUAGAUUUCUAUAGUCAAUAAUCAUCCGGCUUUUCCCUCUUUUUUGUUCACUAUUUUGUUUACUAUAAAUGCUGGACUUGUAUGUUUACUAUUACUUUCUUGUAUAUAAUUAUUUUCUAGUAAUUCUUUUAUAUGCAUUUUGAAUUUUGUUAAAUCAUCAAAAUUAUAUUUUAAUGGUUUCUGGGUUAUGAUGCUAUUUUCAUCAAUCAGUUCGUAUUUUUAUUUUUGUCUUAUGUUUUUCCCAUCCUUUUUAGGGGAUCUUCACUAUAUAACGGUUCUAGUUUUUCUUUGAAUUAUUUUUAGUUUAUCUAUAGAAAAUACAAUUAAUUCGAUAUUAUGGUUACUUUCGUUAAUAUUUUCUUAGCUUUUGGGUAAUCUUUUCUACUUCCUUUGAUCCAUGGUGUGGUUUUUCUAUUUUUGUUCUUUACCCUUUUUGCUCCUACCUUUUGUUUACAUGGUGUAGCAAACCACCAGUGUGUUUUUGUUAUCACAUGGGGAUAUAGUUUUUCUAAGAAUGGCAUUCCUAAAAGCAUAUCCUUAUUUAUGAAUUCGUAGCUAUAUAUGUCUUCUAUAGUUAAUAUUUUAUCCCAUAUUUGUAAUUUAUGUUCUUUGCUUUAUAUGUUAUCAUACUUCCUUCAUUAUUGAAUCCUGUUACUACUUUUGGUGUUUCUAGCUUUUCCCAUUUUUCUUCGGGGAGGCAAUUAUGUUUGCACAUAUUAGCUUCUGCUCCUGUAUCUAGCAUAGGGGUAUAAUAAUAUCUAUCAUCAUUUUCUAUUAUUAUUUUUGCAAGUAUGUAUAUUUUCAUAUUGUUCUUUUUAUUAUGACUUUCUUAUUUUUAUAUGUUGUGUUAUAUGGUUUCAUUUCUUCUAACCAUUUUAUUCCUAAUAUUAUGUUAUCUCCUUGAUAAAUUUUGAAUUUUAUCAGUAUUACUAUUCCUCCAAUAAUUAUUUAUUUUUCUGCUGUUUCAUCAAAAUUUAAUAAUUCUUUUGGUAAUUCUGGGCACGUUUGUUCUUUAGAGGUUAUUUCAUCUUCUGCUACUAAUUCCCUUGUUAUAUAAUUUUCCUCUUGACCGGUGUUUAUUAUUAUAAUAUACUUCCUUUGUUCUAUUAUUCCAGUUAUGUAAUAAUGGUAUGGUUCUAUAUCUUUUAUCAUUUGAUAUUCUAUUGAUUUUCUUCAAAGUUGAGGUGUUUCAUUACUGUGGUUUAUACCUUUCAUUCUUUUUUAUGUACUUAUUAUGUCACUUACUAUUUCUAAGUCUUCUUCUAUAUCUAUUUCUUUGUAAUUGUAAUCAUUAUUAUCUAUUACUAUAACAAUUUGUUCAAAAGGAUUUUCUAUCUUUAUUCUAUUUAUUUUAUUCUUUGCUGUUGUUUUGUGUUUUGUUGUUAAUACAUAUAGAUUUUUACAUCUUGUUGUAAAUAUCUUGCUUCCUGGAGCUAACUCUAUUCCUAACAUUUUUCAAUACAGUACUAGGGAUUUAUCUAUGUUUCUAUCAUUUACUGCUACUGAAUAAUUUGCGCUUAUUAUAAAUUUAAAUUUUUGAUAUAUUAGAUUUCCUUUUACUGCACUUAUUAUGCUUCUUUCUACAGGUUCUACUAUUAUGUCGUCUGCUAGGUAUAUUUCUAUUGCUGUAUCUAUUCCUUCUCUGAAACAUGCUUUUAUUAAUAUUUUUGUUCCUCCAAGGUGUACAUAUUUUAUUGGGUCUUUGGCUUUAAUUUCUUGUAUUUCCUUGUUUAUUAUUCUUUUAUUUAUUAUUGGUAUUUUCGCUUUUCCUUUGGUAUAUUUACAAUCUAUUAUGUGUUCUUUUUGGCUUACCACGUAAUAUUCUUCCUUUUGUCUUUUAAAUAAUUUUUUUAUUAUUGGUACUUUGAAUAGUUUUUCUACACUCAAGUCUAGUUCUUUUCCUUUUAUUUGUUCAAAUAUAUUAAUAUCAAAUAUUACUUUUUGUUCCGUAGAUUCUUCAGUUAUAUGCUCCUCUUGGGUUAUUAUCUGUACGUCUUUUUCAGUCAUCUAUAUACAAGUUAUCUUCUUCUUCGUUUAUUUCAUUCUCGGAUAAUUCAUAUAUACUAUCGUCACUUUCUGGCUCAUAAUCUAUAUAUUCUAUUUGUGUUUAUUCUUCAUUAUCGAUUAUUAUUUCAGAUAUUUAUUUUUUCUUAGGAUUUUUGGGUAAUUUACAAUAUUUAGCUAUAUGUCCUAGUUUCCCACAAUUAUAACAAGUGCAUUCAGUUAUUGUUUUCUUUGGUCUGAAUGGUCUUUUUGUAUUAUAUUUUUUAUGUAGUAUCUUCUUCGAGGUCUUUUGUACUUAUACUGGGAUUUAUAUUUUUUAUAUUUACCUUGUUUCCUAUAUUUCUUUUAUAGUAAUUAUCAUUACAUCCAAAUUGAGGUGCUACUUUAUCUUUGCAACAGGAUAAGUUUUUUAUUAUGGUUUUUCCAUUUUUAUUUCUUCUCUAUAUUUUUCACAUAUUUCUGAAUACCAUUUUUGUAAGUAUCUUAUUCUUGCUCCUAAAGUAUCUUGUAAUCCUGCUUCAUUCCAAUCUUUAUUAUUUUUGAACUAAAUGAUUCUGGUAGUUUUGUGAAGUAUAAUCUUCUUAUUUCUUUCCCUUCCUCUAUAUUAUAUGUUACUUUGUAAUAAUAUUCUCUAAAUACGCAUGUAUAUUCUUCUAUAUAACACAUGUUACAUAUUGCUAAUUUUAACAUUAAAUUCCUGUUUAACUGUUUCUCUUUAUUUUGUUCUUCUGUUUCUGUGGUUGUACUACUAAAUUCAUUUCUUAUAGCUAUUUCAUAUUUAUUUAAUAUAUCAAUUGGUGUUGUUGCUAUUUCACCAUCUAUUCUUUUAUUAUUUCUUAGUGUUUUUAUACUUUCUUCUGCUAGGUUUUGUAACCAUAACUUUAUUGUUCCUAUAAGUGUUCUUUCUAUAUAUCCUGGUACUUUUGUCAUUCCUAUUUUAUUAUCUAUUAAUUGUUUUGAUAAAUAUCCUACCCAUAAUUGGAUUGUUUUAUUUAUAUCUGUUACGCAGUAUAGAUCUAAAAAAUUAUUAUUUCGAGUAGUUGUUGUGGUUGGUGUCCAUUUUUUAUUUAAUCUUUUAUUCCAUAUGCUAUCGUACCUAUCAUAUUGUUCAUAACUAACUGAAUAAUAAUUGAGAUUUAAUUCUUUUGGGUUUUUAACUCCAAUGUGCUUGCUUUUAUAUCCUUAAUAUCUCCGAUAUUUAUUUCUGUAGAUUUUAUAUCAUCUAUAUUUGCUAAUAUUUCUGUAUAUGUUUCGCUUAUGUCCAAACCUUGUUCUGAGUGGUCUUCAUUUUCUGAUUCAUUUAUAUCGUCAAUUUUUAUGUCUGGUCCUUCUUCAAUUUGUAAUUUUUCCUUAAAUUUUUCUAUUUCAUUUUUUAACUUUGUUUCAAUUUCUUUUUCUUUUUGUUUAGUUGCAUAUAGUUCUUUUAGUGUAGCCAAUUCUUUUUCUAGAGCAAUUAUCAUAUCAUUUUUUGUUUCUUCUAUUUGUUGUAUUUCUAGUUUUGCUUGUUGUUUGAUAAUAUCUAUUUCUUUUUUCCUGUCUAUUUCUUCAUUUUCUCUAGUUAUUCGUACCAUGGCUGUUAGACUAUCUUCUAAUCUUACUGUUUCUUUUUCUAUCAUUAAAUAUAAAUUUUCACCUAUUUUUUUAUAUCUCCUUCCUAAGCUUGAAAAUAGUAUUUUUAUUUUUAAUCCAUCUUGGUUUUCAUAUGUUUUUUCAUCUAUAGCAAAUUCUUCUUUAUUCAUUAUAAAUUGUGCUUUAUUUUAUAUUCUAUCUGUUGUAUUUGUAGUUGUAAUUCAAAUUGUUUUUCUUUGAGCUAAUAGGGAUUUUUGGCAUACUCCUGCGUACUUGUUAUAUUUAAGUCUUUCUUGUCUAUGUUUUAACUUUUGGCGUUUCUCUAUAAUUGUUCUGAUUAAUUCAUAGUUAUGUUGUUCUUUACUUUCCAUAUUAUCCAUAGCAUUCUUUACUAUCCAUAGCUCUGAUACCAAUUUACCAAUUUUGUGGAGUGCGCUUUUCAGGUGAUAAUAAUUAUAUUCAAUAUAUAAAUGUUUAUUAGCUUUUGAACCAUACAUCGUAUAUAACAAAUUUAUUGUUACAAAAAAAUAAUCUAUUCAUUUUCAUUUUUGGGAUUUUUACUGAAAUGGGUUUCUUAGAUCUGAGUCUUGUUUGAGUUUCUAAGGUUAGAUUAGUGUUCUCCAACUAUAUUUGAGUCUUAGGCUGAUAUUGGAAGGAGUUUGGAGCGUUAUUGAAGAAUCCACCAUUGAAGACUUGAAGAAGCUUGAAGAAGACAAAGUGGAUUUUGAAAUCAAAAGAUUUUGGUUUGGAAUUGAAGUUUAAAGAGUAUUGGGUGUUGUUCCCCACAUCAAGGAGAGCCUUCACCUAAUUUUCGUGAAAUUCCAAGACAAAAAUUUUACGGGUUUAAUUUUGGGUUCAUCUUGUUCUUGAAGAACAUUCAUAUCUUCAAGAAAGGAAAUAUUUGAAAAGUCAAGUGUUUGAUUCAAAAAGGGAAGAAAGAGAAAGAGUAAAAGUGUUAUUAAAGAGGGAAUUUACCUAAAGGGGUAAAUACUAAAAGACAAGUCUAAGUGGGACCACACAAGUUCCAAUUCAGAACAUUGCGGGAGCUGCAUAGGUCUAUUGGGCGAGCAAAGGGGGGCAUCGCCUAACCAGUCAGCGCCUCACCCUUUGGGUAGGUUGCUCGCCGAAUUGGCUACCCAUUUGAGGGAGCUGUUGGAACUUUCGGCAAGACCAAGCCUUGGUCGCCAAGUUCAAUCGGCAAGUCACCGAACUUCCUUCUACCUCGCCAAGUUACCUUGGAAGAUUGUUGAAUUUGGCGAGUCCUUUUUCAAGUUGGCGAGCUGAACUUCACUUUUGGCGAAGAAAACAGGUCAUUCGGCGAUCUGAAAUUCGAGUUACUCCUAAUCUCAGGUUCUAAAUUCUUAGUUUCUUUCUUUUGUUUCUCAAACCUUCUCAAGAAUCCUAAACCGAUUUUCAACUCGUAAAUACUCUACUUGUUGACUAUUGGUUCUUGGAUUCACUUCUUUGUUUGUGCCUUUUCUUUUCGUGCUUUUCUCGAUUUACUUCAUAGUUAAUUCUUCAUUCAAGUCUGUUUGUUUAUCGAGUCAUCCGUUCUUCUUCGAACAAGAAUCCAUUCUGACCUAGAGUUGAAAUUGGUACCUUGUGAUCGACGGAGUAUAAUUAAUUGUCAACAUUAGCCGCGCUGAUUGAGAGGCAAUCAAAGAUGUGUAAGCACGAGCGAUUGUGAGUGCAUUUUAUUAAUGCUAACGUUGUUUGCUGUUUUGUGAGUUGUCUUAAUGUCAGGUACAAUGGAGACAGGAGGAGACACUCAAGCACCCAUCAGAGAAAAAACGUUGGCAACCUUGUUGGAAGUAUUGAACUAUGUGAGGGGUGAUCUAUCAAGUAUGAAUGGGAGGCUAACCACUGUGGAAGGUAGAGUCAAUUCAAAUGACUCCACACCACAAGCUAAUUUUCAUGCUACUACGAGUGGGCAAGAUCACACUCGUUUUCCUACUCUCACACCUGAAACCCUCCACAAAGCCUUGUACCCAACAUUUGUGAAAUUGAGUUCAAAUAGCCAAAGUACCCAUCGACCAUUCCAUUUUCCGCUUAGUUAAGAAGCUCCCUCAAAUCAAAGCCAUUGUUACAAAACCCCACCUAACCAUAAUAUUCCCUACCAAAGACCAUAACCACAACCAAAUCUAGUGAAUGAGGUGAGGAAUGAUGACGAUCAAGGAGGUUAUGAGGGUGAAGUUGAAGAAACACCAUGGAAUGAGUCACCAAGGAAUCGACCAAGAGGUUAGUUGUUGCAAGGUGGACCAAGAGGUAGAUUGGGUCCAAUGUCAUUUGAUAGGAGACGACAUGGGAACCACUCUCCAGGUGGAGACCAAUGGGAGGUCAAUACCAAUCAUGAAGUUAGUCAAGAAGCUAGGGAAGAACAUGGUAACCGCUAUCAAGGAGGGCAUCAAAGGGGUUAUCACUACAACGACCAAGGUGUCCAUGGAGGCUGAGAUGUUGGCAUCAACUCUAUCAAAAUGACUCUUCCGACAUUCAAAGGAUAAUGCAAUCCCGAUGCUUACUUAGAAUGGGAGUCGCAAUGUGACCGGAUUUUCAAUGUGAAUGAAUUGGCGAAGGUCAAAAGUAGUUGCUAUGCUAUAGCAUAAUUCGAGGGGUAUGCUGUCACAUGGUGGGAGUAGAUGAAGAGGUAUCACUUAGUUGUUCAAGAAGGUGAUCCUCCACCAUGGCCCGAGUUGAAAGGUUGAUGAGAGCUAAGUAUGUGCCGGAAAGAUACCGCCAAGGAUUACUUGCCAAAUUGUAUUACUCGAGGCAAGGAAGCAAAAGUGUUGAAGCCUAUCAUGAUGAGUUCCAAAACAUAAUCAUAAAGUUGGAAUAUAGAGAAAUUGAAGAGCACAUCGUGAUUCGCUUCAAGGUAGGGUUGAACAAAAAGAUUUUUUCUAAGAUGACCCUUCAUAGGUUUGCUACUUUGAAUGAUGCCUUUUAAGCCGCCCAUGAGAUAGAGUUAGAAUUCAAGGAGGAGAAGGUGGCUAAGUACAAUACUUCAUCUUCCAAAUCUUGGAGCAAAAGCAAAGGGGGAUCUCAAACAUCGUCGGGUUGGAACAAGGGUUCGGAUGUUAAGAAGCCUUAUGACAAGAACCCCUUCGAAGGAAACACUCCAAAGUACCCGCCUAGAGACAAAGGUAUCACUGACCCAACCAAGUUCCCUAAAGGUAUUCAAUGUCACAAAUAUAGGGGAUGGGGUCAUAUAAUGCAUGAGUGUCCCAAUCGACUGAUUGAUGUACUUAAAGGAGGAGAAAUAUAUCUUAAGUUCUUCAUCCUAUGUCCCCCUCUCAAGUCAAUGAUAUAUAUUAAAGAAUGAAUGAGUUGAGGGAAAAGAAGAAGUUUGAAGAGGAACAUGUGCAGGCCGAGAGCCAAGAAGAGGAGGAUAUGAGGAAGUUGAAAUGUAAGGCUUAAGUGUUGUUGGCUAAUUACAAAGAGAUAAGGGAGGAAAUUGAGUUAGAAAGUUCAUUGAUCAUUAUCACACAUAGGGAUCAUGUACUACAAACUAACCAAUCUCAUUCUUCCUUUCCCAAUUCUAUUUCGUUUCUUUUGUAGGAUUAUGAGGAUGUCUUCCCAAAAGAGCUUCCAAGUGGAUUGUCGCCUCUUCGGGGAAUUGAGCACCAAAUUGAUUUUGUGUCGGGAUCGCAAUUACGAAACAAGCCAGCUAAUAGAAGCAAUUUGGAGGACACGAAGGAGCUACAAAAACAAGUUGAGGAACUCCUCGACAAAGGUUAUCUGAAGGAGAGCAUGAUUCCAUGUGUCGUGCCAGUUCUAUUAGUUCUAAAGAAAGAUGGAACAUGGCGCAUGUGUGUUGAUUGUCGAGCCAUCAACAAAAUUACGGUAAAGUAUCAUCAUUCUAUCCCUAGGAUAGAUGAUAUGCUUGAUGAAUUGAAUGGCCCUUGUGUGUUUUCAAAUAUUGAUCUUAGGAGUGGUUAUCAUCAAAUUCGGAUGAACCCCGAUGAUGAAAAGAGAACCGCAUUCAAGACCAAGUUUGGUCUAUAUGAAUUCUUGGUGAUGCCCUUUGGUCUCAGUAAUGCUCCUAGUACCUUUAUACGUCUCAUGAAUCAUGUGAUGAAACCCUUUAAAGAGAAAUUUGUGGUUGUCUAUUUUGAUGAUAUCUUGAUUUAUAAAAGGACCAUGCAUGAUCAUGUUGAGCAUUUAAGUUGUGUGUUUGAUGUGCUUAGGAAGGAAAAACUUUAUGCUAAUCUUGGUAAGUGUUCAUUUUAUGUUGAUGAAGUUGUCUUCUUGGGUUUUGUUAUGAGUUCAAAAGGGGUUGAAGUUGAUGAGUCUAAAAAUUGAUGCUAUUAAGAAUUGGCCAAUUUCGAAAUCCAUAAGUGAUGUUCAAAACUUUCAUGGGUUGGCAAGUUUUUAUAGGCGAUUUGUCAAAGGUUUUAGUACCAUUGCAGCCCCCUUGAUUGAGAGUCCCAAUAUCCUCAUCUAUUUCUUCUAUUCCUAUUCUACCUUGAGACCAAGAGUUCCUUGUUGGAUUUGUUCUAUAUCUAGGGGUCAUAAGUGUUUUAGAAAUUUCCAUGGUCUCCUUAUGUUUUGCUUGUUUUUUUAAAGAUUCUUACUUUGUAUAAAAUCGAUUUUUAAUGAUUUACAUAUUCCUCAUGUUAUUGUGCAUUCUAGGAUGGUGAUGACAUAUUUGACUUCAUGAGAUGAUGUGAUGAACAUGCUUUGUUGUGUUUUGAUGAAAUACACAUUGGCUCCAUAUUGUUGUGUUGAGCUUGCUUUUAAGGAGAAAAUGUAGUUCCUCCUAUGAUUAUGUAGUUGAUGAUGUUUAGGAGUGUUGGUAUAGGCUCACUCAUAAGGGGGAGAUGGUAUGCCUAACUAAUAUUGAUGUUAUGUGCUUAUAUGUUGCCAUGACUUCCUUAUACGAUGCAUGUUCAUGAAAACUUGUGUUUUCGAAAGAAAAUGAUUCUUAUAUGAAGUGUUUCCCUCAUGUUGUGGUGCUUUGAGUAAAAGUUGCCUAUUUGAACUUCAUGAGAAGAAUACAUGGACAUGUUUUAGUAGGAAAAGGUAGUUCCUCCUCAAACAUGACAAGUGAUGAGAAUAUCAUGCAUAAAUAGGUUGUGUAGAUAUAGCUCAUACUUUCUUGUAUUGUAUUGAAAAUGUUGAAUUGGAGUUGAUGUUGCUCCUUGAAUAAGUGCCCAUUGUGAAUAGUGUAUUUUGAGUUGUGCAUUAUUGUGAUGUUUCAUGCAUGUUUGGGGCUGCUAGUCUUGAGUCUUUGAUUCCAUAAUGUGUUUGAAGUGUCAUUCGAGGACGAAUGCUCCUAAGGGAGAGAUAAUGUAACACCCCGUCAAAACCAGUAAGACCUAGCUAAUGCUUGACGGAAUCUAGUAGGUGAAACUAGAGCCUCACAUGUCAGUUUGAAGUUGGAAAGUUGAUUAAAUGUUGUUAAAUGGUUCCUGAGAGAAGGUCGAGGAAUUUAGGGGUUAAACGUCAAGAUACAACUAUAACGCCCGGAAACUAGUAAGUUGAACUAGUGUGUGGUAGUGUCUUGUAGUGGAAGUUUUGGAGUGUCGUAUGAGGGUUAAAACCCAUAAAAUGAUCCCCAUACUUAAAAUGACACGCUUAGGGGUUAAACGUCCGGAUACGACUCCCCAAGGGGUCCUUGAAGAGGAACCCAACACAGCCCAGAAGCUGUCAAAAACAGUUGGGUUCACAGAGGCAGAUCACGCCCCUUAGACCAGUCCAUGCCCCAUAGGUCAUGGGCGUGGGUUAGGACUUAGUAUAGGAAGGCUUGGCCUUCAAGUUUGAGCCCCAGCCCCAAACCACGGAGCCACAGGAUGGUCAGUACAUCUAUCCACGGUCCAAGGAUGGGUGGGCAUGAAUGGGAGCAGUUUUCCAGAUUUUUGUUUUAAGUUAGAGGUCUUAGUUUUAGUUAGUUAUUUAAUUAAGGGUUAGGAGGGACGAUUAGAUAACUAAUUAACUUCCUAAAUAAACUAUUUUCAGUCAUUAAAACAUUUCAUUAACUCAUUAUAACCCUAGACCCCAAAUCAAAACCCAACUACCUUUCCCUCCCAAAAUCAUCUCUCUAGACUCCAUUGAAGAAAAAAGGAAGGAAUCAAGCUAGAGCUUCAAGAAGAGGGAUUUUUCAUAUGAAUUUGAUGGGAAUAUAAACCUAAGGUAUGGGAGUUGUUCAUUAUUGGUUAGCUAUUGUCACGCCCCAAACUAGAGAAGGUGUGACUAUCACUCGACACCUUAAGCAAUUGAGUUAGCCACAUAAACAUACCAACUGACUCAAUUGAGGGCUUAGAAGGUCAGGCAACAUAACAUCUAAAUUACUAUUAUUGGACCCUUAAGGUCAUAACCUGAAUAUCGAUAAGUCAUAUAGACGAAGGUAGAAAAGCCAAAGAUAAUAAGGUACUAGCUAGCUGACAAGGCUACAAUGAAGAUACACACAUACAUACAUAUCUAUACAUGCCAAUCCUAUGUGGCUGGAAACUGGAAGUUGCAGAAAGAAACCCAUAAUAUUGUGUCCACAAUAGCCUCUAUGAGUGUCAUAAGCACUGGUCGGGACAAGGUCCCGAUUAUACCCAAACUUUACAAUAAAUGUAACAUCCUAUGAAAGCUCCAGGAAGAAGUGGAGCUUACCAACUCAGAGCUAAAUCCAGAAUCUUAGCAGAGGGGUCAAUCAGAAUCCCUACCUGGACCUGCACGCACGAAACAAAAAUGCGUCGCAGGCAACGGUACGUCAGUACGAAUAAAAAUGUAAUGGUAUGUAAGGUAGAAAAUAGAAUAAUAAAUAGUUACUGUAAAAAGGGGAAUAAAGAUACCACCUGAAAUAGAAACUAUGGUAACCGCCAUGGCUGACAUCAAACCUUAUAUAAAUUAAAUAUACAUGGUAUGCUCGCAUAAUCGUAUGUCAUGUAUAUAUAUAUAUAUAUAUAGAGAGAGAGAGAGAGAGAUGAAAAUGCAUGUCAUACCCAACUAAGUGCUAGCAAUGGUAGUGCCUUCCGGUAGCGAACCGGGAGCAUAUUCGCCAACUUGUGGACAUAUGUGUCUCAUACGUAUAAAUAUAGGCAAUAGGCCCCAUACCUUUGAAUUAUAGCUCGGAAGUAGAAUGUGUAGCAUGUAAUGUCAUGGAUCUGCAAUGCAUUUGUUACCUGAAUCAUGUUUGCAAUCUCGGAUCAGUGGUACUCUUGUCCUUGUAAUCUCGUAAUCACUUUCGUAUCACAUGUAAACAUCACGUGAAACUUAUAUACUUGUAGAUUAAACUGGAACACUUAACUUGGAUUUAAGAAAGGAAACUUAAACUUGAGGAUGUUCAUAAAGAGAUUAAAGUUCAUCACUUAGUAUCUAUAUAUGUUUCCAUAGUGGUUUUAAAAGAAAGUAUUUUAGAAAAAACCCGUACUUUAGUAGUUUAAACCUAUGAUUUAUAUUUAAGAGUUUUGGAGAUCGACGUUUUAUUUUAAAGUUUUCAAAAAUAUAAAUUAGCGAGGAUAGAGGACUGAUUUCAAAAUCAUAUUGUUCAUCUCUAAUCUUUUUAAGUUACUACACCUAAAGAAGAAUAAUAAUUUGUACACAUGGACCUAUAGUCAAGAGAAUCAACAAAAUGACAUAAAGACGUUGAAUACCCUAUCUAACCGAAUGAGUGGAAUAUCUACAUUAUGGAGUAAAAAAAUACGCCAACUGCAAUCUCAAUACAUUUCACAAAAGGUCUUUCUAGCAAUAGAGUAGUAAAACAGUAUUUGACAAUUUAGGAUUCCAAAUUUCGUGCUCAAAGGAAGUAUAGUGCUUAGCCUUAACAUACCUCAAUUUUGGGUCUUGUUGUAUCAAUACGGAUUGUACCCUCUUCCUUACAGUAUGUAGUCUACAGAAAAUCAUGUCACACAAACAUUACAGGCAGAAUAUUAACACGUCAGGGUCAAAGUAGAAAUUUAGAGCUCACUAGCAGAGUGAUUAGCUCGCCAGACCAUUUUUAAAGUUAUGCUUCAUUACCUUCUCUUCUCCAAAUUACAACCUCAAAUUAAUGGCAUAGCAUACAUUUUUGCAGCAGCUAUUAACAAGUGGAGGCCUACGCAAUAGUCAACAACAACCAAAUAGAGUAUGCCUGCACAACAAUUAAAACUCGGCGUAUCGCCACACCCGUCUUUUCCAACCCAAAAUAACCAUAACCAAAUCCUAGCGACGAAUCUUCAAACCAUUAAAGCCAUAAAAAAAUGUAUAAUAUAGUCCUAUAAUUGUUCAAUAUAACCAUAAUAACUUGAACUCGCCGCUUCCAAUCAUCAUCCUAUACGUUCGUCCAAUAAUUACAUUUCGAGUCAUGUCUUUCUCUUCAUAUGCAAUAAGAGCUUAAAAGGACAAAACCUAAACUUAAACUUGAUGGAGCUUGCAGUAUAUCAACAUUUCUUGUCAAUAAAAAACAGUCUCCUUAACCGCAAGACAUUGAACCAAGAAGAGACAAUUUGAAAAUUGCAAUGCAAUAAUAGAACCAACGUUACACUAAUUUAUGUUACAAUUAAAUAUCCAUCUAUACUUCUUCUUCUCUUCCAGACUCAUAUCAACAAGAACCACACACAUACAAAGCAUUUCCAAAAAUAUUCCAGAAACAACAAUAUCAGAAAAUACUUCAAAACAGCCCAACAUCACUUAACUAUCCAAAUACGAUUUUUCCAGCCGUCUAUUCAUGGUUUUGCUUAUAUAGCAUAACUAUAACUUGGACUCACUCAAUAAAAUGAAGGGUGAGAAUUAUUACCUCCAAACAAAAGCUACACCACAUAAAAAACGAGACUCCUUCAGCAUGAAGAAUCCUUCAAAUCACAACCAACGAGGAGGAAAGAAAUAACACAAUCUCUAUGAAUGUUCCGAGGGUUAAACCACGUUGAAAUCUUGUAAAUAUUUUCUUGGAUGGUAGGGGAACCUUUAGAGAGUAUUUAGGACUGUUUUAUUCUUAUUUUGGUCGAAAAUAAUGAGAUAAAAUGAAGGGAAAUCUGAUUUUAUAAAGCUAAACCAACAUAUGGGCUAGGGGGCCACCUUCACGUGCCUGCUUGUGCAGUCUCACUAAAAUCUGAAUAUCUCUCAAUUAUGAAGCCGUAUGGACAAAUAAUUUAGUGCGUUGGAAAGUAGACUGAUAGACCUUCGAUUUCAUAUAUUGGGGUUCUUCUAAAGCUUUAUAGAUUGGGAGAAAAGCUCCAAGACAUUUAACCCAAUUUUCAGAAAAUUUAUCAAAGAAACUUACUCUAACUUUAGCCAACUUUUUAUUUCUCAACUUGCUUGACUUCAAAACUUAACUGACAAUCAUUGAGCGACUAUAUCGCCUUAUAAAACAUCCUUUUUAGCAUAUAAGACACUCUUUGUCUUAUCCCCAAAGGCACCGAGUAAUUUAACCGUUCUGAACGGGCUGGGUGUUAGAAUAGACAUUCUUUAACUUGAACUUGUUUAAGGGCAUCCUUGAACCAUAACGUUAAUCUAACUCUUUAAUUUUUUUUUUACCUCCCCUUUUCAACCUUAUUCUCCUGAAAUGAUACACCAAGUCAUAUAAACCUCAUACACUCAUUCAAUGAUACAAAUAUUAUGCGAAAGAACCACGGGGUCUCACAUUCUCCCCUCCUUAAGAGCAUUCGUCAUCGAAUGGAUUCGAACAAUCUCUUAGUUGUAUUCUUUGCUGCUACUAUGCUAUUUGCAAGGCUAUAUUUGUUACGUUCGCAAAUCUUAAAUCCGGUUCGAAAAUCUAAUUACAAGGCUUCGUAUAUCUAGCCUGCGACAAUCCAUAUAAACUGCAUUUUUGAGGUAUUUAAAAUCCAAUUAAGUUUGUGUACUGGAAUAAUUGUCAAUUAUUGAAAAACAACUCAGCUUAAGUCAUCAAUAGUUGGAGGUAAUUCUUCCCUAUUUCCUCUUCGGCUUCUCAAGUUAUUUCCUCAACGUUGUUAUUCCACCAUAACACUUUCAUAGUAACCACUUCUUCAGUCCAAAUCUUUCUUACCUGCCAAACCAAAAUAGCCACUAACACCUUAGCAUAAAACAAGUCUGUAGAGACAAGAAUAUCCUCAACGGACAUAAUUCAAAGCAUUUUCGAUGCAGUUCUAUAAACAAGAUACAUGGAACACCAGAUGAACUACUUUAAAUUCUGAAGGGAAAUCAAUCUCGUAAGUCAGCCUACCAAUCCUUCGAAUAAUAUUAUAUGGCCCUACAUUCCUUGGACUCAGCUUUCCUUUCUUGACUAAUCGCAUGAAACCCUUCAUAGGCCAUACUUUGAAGAAAAACCAAUAUUCUACAUCAAAAUCUAUGUCUCGUAGUAAAACAUCUGCAUAAGACUUCUGACUACUCUAUGAUAUCAACAACCGAUCUCUACUAAGCUUUACCUUCUCCAUAAAUUGUUAGAUUAGAUCAUGACCUAAAAAUUCUACUUCCCUGAUCUUGAACCAAUAUAUUGGUGAACUGCACUUCUUCCAUAAAGUGCUUCAUAAGGACAUAUUUGAAUACUUGCUUGGAAUUUGUUAUUAUAAGAAAACUCACACAAUAACACGUGAUCACACCAGUUUUCACAAAAAUCUAGCACACAUACCUAUAACAUGUACUUGAGCAUUUAGAUUAUACAUUCGGCUUGGCCAUCAAUUUUAAGAUGAAAAUCCGUACUAAGAUUAACUUGAGUCCCCAAACCUUCAACAAGGUUCUCUGUGUUGUGCUAUAAAAUGUGUCCAUCUAUUUGAAGUAAUCUAUACUGAGACAUAAUUGAGUUUAAAUAACUCUCUAAUGUACAUCCCAACAUAUUCCACCAGAAGGUAGUCCUGACUAGAUAGAAAUGGGUUGAUUUCGUCAACCUGUGAACAAUCACCCAAAUGGAAUUUGAUCUUCCCUCGCGAAUGUGGAAAACAUGUGACAUAAUUCAUAUUUAUCUCCUUCCACUUCCACAAUGGAAUAACUAUCUCCUGUGUUAGCAAAAUAAUCUUCUGAUGCUCUACCUCUCCCUAUUGACAACAUAUCUCAUUAAUACCAUGACACAUUUUCAUGGUUCCUAUGUGAACAGAGAAGCAAGAAUAGUUCGCAUGUACCAUAUUUUUCAAUAGAAGCCAUAUGGCAUUCAGAACAUAUAAUUGAUCUCUGAAUCUGAAGACUGCCUCUCCUGCUCUAUCAAAGGUGAUUUUUAUUUUUUUAUUUUUCCUGCUAAGCCUUGCCUCUGAGCUGAUCUAAGCUAGGAUCUUCACAUUGUCAAGCCUUCACCUCCAUAAAUAGAGAUGAUAUUACCCAGUCCUGAACUUUGACUCUAAUGUCAUUGGAGUUUUAUAAUAUAACCCCAAACCAACUAGUUGAUGGAGCUCUUAGGCCAUCUCCUGGUUCUCAACUCCCGAAGGUGAUAAACUACCCAUAGAAUUACGACUGAGGGCAUCCACUACUAUAUUUUACUUUCCUUGGAUGAUAUAAGAUAUCCACAUCAAUAACUUUCAGCUAUUCAUUCCAUCUACACUAUUGUAGAAUUUCCUUUUUCAGUCUAAAAAUAUACUGGGCUCUUAGGAUCUGUAUAAAUAUCAACAUUAAAGACAUUCAAGUAAUGCCUCAAAAUCCUCAAGGAAUGAAUAAUUGCAGUUAACUCUAAAUCGUAGGUCGAGUAGUUCUUUUCAUUAUUCAUUAACUAUCAUGAAGCAUAAGCAAUUACCUUUCUUUAAUGUUUCAGAACAUAAACCAGCCUAAUUCUUGAAGCAUAAUAAUGCAUUACAUUGUCUUCUUGCUCGUCUUGUAGGGUCGGAACUGGUGUUGAAGUCAUUUGAUAUCUCAGCUCUUGGAAUCUCCCCUCGUAGGCUAUUGUCCACUGAAACUUAACUUCUUUUUAAGGCAACUUUGUUAGGGGUGCUAAAAGUGGAGAAAAAAAAAUCCUUCCACAAGACUUAUAUAAUACUCCACUAACCCUCAGAAAGAUUCGAACUUCGACCAGGUUCAUAAGUCUAGGCCAAGUCUUCACGACCUCAGUCUUCUGUUAGUAUACCUGAGUACCAGCAUCUAAUACAAUAUGGCCCCGGCAAAAAAAAACCAUUAAAUACAACCAGAACUCAUACUUUGAGAAUUUAGCUUACAACCUCUAACCUUGGGGUAAUUGAAGCACUACUUAGUGAUGAUCUCUCUGAUUUGCCUCUGAAUGAAAUGUACCAAAAUAUCAUUAACUAAUACAAUUACGAACAAGUUUAGAAUGACAUGGAUAUACUAUUCAUCAGGUUCAUAAAUAUUGUUGGUUCAUUCGCCAAUCUGAAAGGCAUUACAAGAAACUCAAAAUGGCCAUAUCUAAUCCUCAAAGUUGUCUUUGAAACAAUACUCUCUCGAACAAGUACCUAGUGGUACCAUAAAUGUAAAUCAAUCUUUGGGAAGCAUCCGACAUCAUAUAGUUGGUCGAAAAAACCCUUCAAUCCGUUGUAGUGGAUAUUUGUUCUUUAUAGUCACCUUAUUCAGUUUUUUUAUAGUCUAUACACUUCUACCAUGAUUCAUUUUUCUUCCGAACAAAUAACAUUGGUGCACGUCUUAGUGAUGCGCUAGUCCUAUUAAAGCCCUUAUCUAAUAUAUCCUUCAAUUUUACUGGUGCAAUUCUAAUUGGGGAAAUUGACAUCGGCAGAGUAUCUAGUAAUGUAUCAGUAGAAAAAUUUGUCGCUUCUUCCGGGGAAAUAGCAAGAAGCUCACCUGGAAAUACACCUAGAAACACAUUGCCCACUAUAAUAACUGAAGAGUCGAGGUCUCAACAUCAAUAUCUUAAACUCGCUCGGAAAAUAUGAUAAGUACAGCCAUUGGCAAACAUUUCCUUGCCUAAAGAUUGCAAAUAAACUUGCCUCUUUGCAUUGCACCAUUAGCCUUCCAUUUUCAUACUACUUCCCCUGGGAACUAAAAUCUAACAGUCUUCUCUUGGUUGUCCACAUCAACAUAAUAAGGUUUCCACCAAUCCAUGCCCAUAUCAAUAAAAAGUCGAGCAUCUCUAGCCCUAUCACGUCUAAAAAAAUUGAUAACAAACUAUAUCUCCAGUAGAACCUCGAUAAAUCCUCUUGAGCGUAUGUGAAACACAAAGCACGAUUCAGAUUUCACGAUUCAGAUUUCAUACGUACUUAUAAGUUCACCCACCAAACCAUAACAAGGAACUCUUUCAAAAACAACAUAGUUCUACUCACGGACCAAUCAUGAAGCACACUAUCUCCCCCUUGGAAGAAAACCCCACUAGUCUUUUCAAAUCCAUCUCCCUCAAUCUAACCAUAACACCAACGUUUUAACAACCACUAAACCAUUGAUACAAGUAAACACUUAAGAAGUUUCCACAAAGAUUUUAACGACUACUCCAAACACAAUCACCAUACAUGGAGUCUUAUGUCACGCCCCAAACUAGAGAAGGCGUGACUAGCACUCGACACCUUAAGCAAUCGAGUUAGCCACAUAAGCAUACCAACUGACUCAACUAAGGACUUAAAAGGUCAGGCAGCAUACCAUCUAGAAUACUAUGAAUGGACCCUUAUGGUCAUAACCUGAAUAUCGAUAAGUCAUAUAGACGAAGGUAGACAAGCCAAAGAUAAUAAGGUACUAGCUAGCCGACAAGGCUACAAUGAAGAUAUACACACAUACAUACAUAUCUAUACAUGCCAAGCCUAUGUGGCUGGAAACUCGAAGCUGCAGAAAGAAACCCAUAAUACUGUGUCCACAAUAGCCUCUAUGAGUGACAUAAGAACUGGUUCGGACAAGGCCCCGAUUAUACCCAAACUGUACAAUAAAAGUAACAUCCUAUUAAAGCUCCAGGAAGAAGUAGAGCUUACCAACUCACAGCUGAACCCCGAAUGCUAACAGACGGGUAAUUCAUAAUCCCUACUUGGACCUACACGCACGAAACAUAAAUGCGUCACAGGCAACGGGACGUCAGUUCGAAUAAAAAUGUACUGCUAUGUAAGGAAGAAAAUAGAAUAAUAAAUAGUUGCUGUAUAAAGGGGAAUAAAGAUACCACCUGAAACAGAAACUCUGGUAGCCGCCAUGGCUGACAUCAAACCUUAUAUAAAUUAAAUUUUCAUGGUCUGCUCGCAUAAUCGUAUGUUGUGAAUAUAUAUAUAUAUAGAUGCAAAUGCAUGUCAUACCGAACUAAGUGCUAGCAAUGUUGGUGCAUUCCGGUAGAGAACCGGGAUCAUAUUCGCCAACUUGUGGCCAUCUGUGUCUCAUAAGUAUAAAUAUAGGCAAUAGGCCCCAUACCUUCCGAUUAUAGCUCGGAAGUAGAAUGCGUACCAUGUAAUGUCAUGGAUCCGUAAUGCAUUUGUUAGGUGAAUCAUGUUGCCAAUCUUGGCUUAUCGAUAAUCUUGUCCUCAUAAUCUCGUAAUCACUUUCGUAUCACAUGUAAAUAUCUCGUGAAACUUAUAUACUUGUAGAUUAAACUGGAACACUUAACUUGGAUUGAGAAAGGCAACUUAAACUUGAUGAUGUUCAUAAAGAGCUUAAAGGUCUUCACUUAGUAUCUAUAUAUGUUUCCUUAGUGGUUUGUAAAAGAAAGUAUUUCAGAAAAACCCGUACUUUAGUAGUUUAAACAUACGAUUUAUAUUUAAGAGUUUUUGGAGAUCGACAUUUUAUUUUAAAGUUUUCAAAAAUAUAAAUUAGCGAGGAAAGAGGACUGAUUUCAAAUUCAUAUUGUCAUCUCUAAUCUUUUUAAGUUACUACACCUAAAGAAAAAACAAGAAUUUGUACGCAUGGACCUAUAGUCAAGAGAAUCAACAAAAUGACAUAAAGACGUUGAAUACCCUAUCUAACCGAACGAGUGGAAUAUAAACAUAAUGGAGUAACAAAAAUAUACGAGCUCCAAUCUCAAUGCCUUUCACAAAAGGUCUUUCUAGCAAUAGUGUAGUAAAAUAAUAUUUGACGAUUUGGGAUUCCAAAAUUCGUGCUCAAAGGAAGUACAAUGCUUAGCCUUAACAUACCUCGAUUUUGGGUCUUGUUAUAUCAAUAUGGAUUGUACGCACUUCCUUACAAUAUGUAGUCUACAGAAAAUCAUGUCACACAACCAUUACAGGCAGAAUAUUAACACGUCAGGGUCAAAGUAGUAAUUUAGAGCUCACUAGCAGAGUGAUUAGCUCGCCAGAACAUGUUUAAAUGUAUGCUUCAAUACCUUCUCUUCUCCAAAUUACCACCUCAAAUUAAUGACAUAACAUACAUUUUUGCAUCAGCUAUUAACAAGUGGAGGCCUACGCAAUAGUCAACAACAACCAAAUAGAGUAUGCAUGCACACCAAUUAAAACUCGGCGUAUCGCCAAACACCUCUUGUCCAACCAAAAAUAACCAUAACAAAAUCCUAACCACGAGUCUUCAAACCAUUAAAGCCAUAAAAAAAUAUGUAUAAUACAGUCCUAUAAUUGUUCAACAUAACCGUAAUAACUUGAACUCGCCGCCUCCAAUCAUCAUCCUAUACGUUCGUCCAAUAAUUACAUUUCGAGUCAUGUAUUUCUCUUCAUAUGCAAUAAGAGCUUAAAAGGACAAAACCUAAACUAAAACUUGAUGGAGCUUGCAGUACAUUAACAUGUCUUGUCAAUAAAAAACAGUCUCCUUAAACGCAAGACGUUGAACCAAGAAGAGGCAAUUAGAAUAUUGCAAUGCAAUAAUAGAACCAACGUUACACUAAUUUAUGUUAAAAUUAAAUAUCCAUCUAUACUUUUUAUUCUCUUCCAGACUCAUAUCAACAGGAACCACACACAUACAAAGCAUUUCCAAAAAUAUUCCACCAACAACAAUAUCAGAAAAUACUUCAAAACAGCCCAACAUCACUUAACUAUCCAAAUACGAUUUUUCCAGCCGUCUAUUCGUUUCCUUGCUUAUAUAGCAUAGCUAUAACUUGGACUCACUCAAUAAAAUGAAGGGUUAGAAUUAUUAUCUCCAAACAGAAGCAACACCACAUAAAAAACGAGACUCCUUCACCAUGAAGAAUCCUUCAAAUCACAACCAACGAGGAGGAAAGAAAUAACACAAUCUCUAUGAAUGUUCUGAGGGUUAAACCACGUUGAAAUCUUGUAAAUAUUUUCUUGAAUGGUAGGGGAACCUUUAGAGAGUAUUUAGGACUGUUUUAUUCUUAUUUUGGUCGAAAAUAAUGAGAUAAAACAAAGGGAAAUCUGAUCUUAUAAAGCUAAACCGACAUAUGGACUAGGGGCCCACCUUCACGUGCCUACUUGUGCAAUCUCACUAAAAUCUGAAUAUCUCUCAAUUCUAAAGUCGUAUGGACGAAUGAUUUAGUGCGUUGGAAAGUAGAAUCAUAGACCUUAAAUUUCAUAUAUUGGGGUUCUUCUAAACCUUUAUAGAUUGGGAGAAAGGCCCCGAGACAUUUAAACUAACUUUCAGAAAAAUUAUCAAAGAAACUUACUCUAACUUGUGCCAACUUUUUAUUUCUCAACUUGCUUGACUUCUAAACUUAACUUAUGAUCAUUGGGUGAGUAUAUCACCUUAUAAAACAUCCUUAUUAGCAUACAAGACACUCUUUGUCUUAUCCCUAAAGGUACCGGUGAACUUAAGCGUUCUGAACGGGCGGGGUGUUAGAAUAGACAUUCUUUAACUCGAACUUGUUUAAGGGCAUCCUUGACCCAUAACUUUAGUCUAAUUCUUUGAUUUUUUUUACUUCCUCUUUGCAACCUUAUUCUCAUGAAAUGAUAGACCAAGUCAUAUAAGCCUCAUACACUCAUUCAAUGAUACAAAUAUUAUGCGAAAGAACCACGGGGUCUCACAGUUAUUACCAAGAAGCCCCUUCAACUAUGUUUUCAAAUCCCCCAAUUCUAGGGUUUUCAAACCUAGACAUGGGUCUUCUUCCAAAACGAAUUCAAUUGUUUUAUUUAGGUUUAUCUUGAUUGAUUAUGAUGAUUUAUGAUUUGAUUAAUGGAGAAUUAAUGGAUUUUGAUGAAAAUCUCCUUUGGACCAAUUUUUAAAGUAGGGUUUGAUUUGAUUGAUCAUAUAAGGUUUGCAAUUAAUUAUGUUUAUGUUUAUUAUGUUGUUGAAUCAUGAUAUAUCUCUAUCUAGCAUGGUAAUUCUAAAAGUUAGGGUUGAUCUUGAUUCUUAGCCUUGAAAGGCAAUUUGCUAGGAUUGUAUGUGUUGUCAUAUAUUGUAUAUGAUCUUGUUUAUCCACUUGAAAGGUGGAGGUGUUUAAUUAUGAUGUAGUGUAAUUCUACAUGUAUUCUUGAUUAACCUAAGAUUAUAGGGUUAUGUCAUGAAAGAGGCAAAUUGAGGGUUUAAAUGUGAUCCUCUUAGAAUGAUGAGUUCUCAAUGUAAUGCCUUAGAUUAGAUCACCUAGACUUGAAUUGGUUUAGGAUAAUUCUUCUAAACAUGAAUUGACUUAAUCAUGAUAUUAUGUGCAUGUUGAUGAAUACUUGAAGUAUAAAGUGCCAAUCAUGAUGUGAUUAAUGUAUUGAUGAGUUGUUGGAUCAUGGUAUCUCCUUAUCUAAUGUGCUAUUGCUAUAUACUUGGGAUGAAUUGAUCCAUAAGCCGUUGAAGGGCAUAUUGUGAAGGUUUGUGCAUGUUGGCAAUAUUGUGUGUGAACUUAUGAUUUAUUUAGAAAAGUGUAGGUCCUAUGACUAUGGUGUAUAUCGUUGUAUUGUUGAAAGGCUAGUCUUCCGUUAUCCUUACACUUGAUAUUAUAUAAAUUAUCUAGGAUGAUGAUAAUGUUGUUGUUGUGUUAUUGCAAGGACAAUUACACACACACACUCCAUGCAUAAACAUGAUCAUGAUGUAUCUAUGGUGUUAAUUGAAAGUAUAGUUCUGAUAUGCACCUUUACACAUUAUUAUGCAUGAAAUGUACUUGAGCAUAUUGAUCCUAUUGUGUUGAUUGAAAGCCUAUUCUCAUGAGAAUACAUGAUCUUGGUGUGAUAGUUAUUCUCACAUACAAAUUAUAAUUCUAAAGUUGAAUGUACAUUCUCACCUUUAAUGAACCUAUGAGCUAUUUUGUGAAUUGUAUUGAACGAAGGGUAGAGCAAUCCUUCACGAAUGUAAAUACAAUUCAAAGACUUAUAAUGUCUAAUUUGGGAAAUAAUGCUUAGCACCGAGUGGAUAUUGACAAUGAGGUAAAGGCCCUCCUGCCAAUGCAAUAGUGAGGGUCAUCCAAAGUGAACUCAUGAGAUGGAAUCCCCUCUGGCAAUGCAAUAGGGUGGAUUUCUAGAAGCAAUCUCCCCAUCCCAUAAACUAUGUGCCCACAUAGGUACCUUUAGCUAGUGGAUCCACCUUAUCUCUAUACAUUUUGGUUCUACCUUAGGCAAGUAGGACACAUUUCACGGUGUAGGGUUAUAGACACCGGAUUCCAUGUAGCUCACCUGGUCAAUGUCGGUUAUGGCAACUUUUCCCUAUAUAAUAAAGAUAAUGAAUGAUACAUGAAUUAUACUAUGACUUCUUAAUGAGCUUUACUUAGUAGGAGUGUUGGUAUGGGACUUCACUCUUACAUUGAAUAAGUAUACUUAGUAGGAUGUCAUGGGAUGGUUCCUUUUCAUAUUGAUGAGAUUUCAAUGCAUGCACAUAUAUUGAAUGUAUAGUUGUUAUGAAUUACCUUCCUUAUAAUUUAAGUAAUGUAUAUGAAUAUUUCCUUAUUUGUGACUAUUGAUUAUAAUUAGGUGUAAAGAUGAAGUGCAUGAGUAAGGUAGCUUCAAAGGAGUACUUAGUAGGGUUAGUAUUAUGGGAUGCUAACCAUACAUUGCACAAGUGUUUCUAAGGGGUUACCAAGGUAAUUACUUUAUUAUAAAAUGAGUAUAAAUGUGAUAUUGUCUUGUGUUGUACAUUGUGAAUGCAUGUUAGUUACCAUUGCAUAUGUUUUUCUUAGGGGUUGAUCAUGUGAUGAUUACUUAAGCAUGAGAUGAUCUUGGUAUUUGACUUGCACUACCUUGUGAUUGGAGGCUAUGUAUUGUGAAGAUUGGGAUUUGUAUUGUAUUGAUGUUGGAGAUUAUGCUUGUUAUUAUAAUGAUAUCUCUCAUGCUAUAAUGAAAUAUAUGUGAGUUGUCUUAUUGAUUGUAUUCUCCAACUAUACCAAAGAUGAUGUUCAAAAAUGGCAUAUAGCAUGAUUUCAAAUGAAAUGUCCCUUUUCAUGAAUGUUUUAAUGGUUUUGUGCAUGGCUUCCUUACUUAGUACUUUUUGUGCUAACCCCUUCUUUCUACAUUUUCUAUAAGUGAAGGCUUUGGAGAUAUUGGAUUUCAUCUUCGUGGCUAGAUUCAUAGUAGAUCAAGAAGAAGAAGAUUGGUGAGUCCUCAUUGUAUUUGAGGGCUCAACCUUAUGUCCUUUAUUGUCUUUCUUUUAUGUUUUAAACUUUCGUUGUAAGGGUCGUGUCCCUAAGAUUUGUAUUUCAUGAGUUUUAUUCCAAGUAUAAUAGAUGGUUUGAGACAUGGUGUCAUAGAUACUCUUUCAGUUUUAUAAGAGACUUCGAUUAUAAGAAAAGUUUUUAAUUUUGCACUAUGUUUAUCACCUAUGCGAUGAAUGAAUGCUAUGAGGCUUGUAUAAGACCCCUUCGGGGUCGAGUACGCCGUGUUACGGCUUGGGGGUGCUCUCGGGUCGUGACAAAACCUCAAGACUAGAAUCGUAGGAACGAAUCUAGACUUAGCUCUGAUACCAAAUGAUGUAAUUCCUAUAAGGGAAUCACACUAAAACGCGGAAAUAGAAUAUGGAAAGUAAAGAUGAAUAGAUUGACACAAGAAAAGGAAAUAAAAAGUAACCUAAAGGUAUAUUAAACCUAAAGACCUCGAUCAAUUAAUCCACAAUCAAGGACCGAAUUUCUUACGAUGACCUCAAAGGAAUCAAUAUCCCAAGCAACCCACGUUUCUAACAAAAGGAACAAAAUCUUAAGCAAGCUCUCAACACUCAAAUAUGAGUUUUCAGUUUUCAACAUUCAAAAUAAUCUAAGUCUAAAAUGAACCCAAGCUAGCUAUUUAUAGGUCUAAGAUAAAACUGCCCAAAAGUGACUCGAAAUAUCAAAAGGUGAGCUGGGUCGGGCCGCCUAGUGGACUGGGUGAUGUGCUGACCUGGUUGGCGAUCCUUCCUACAUGAUCUUCAGCCUUGACUACGUUCUGGAACAUUAGGCGAGUUGGGACAUCGCCUAAGACCUUGGGCGAUGCACCAAGUGGGCCCUACUCGCCAAAAGUGCCUUUUUUAUUAAUCUUCAAGGAAUGAAAGUCCUUGUUUUCUAUCAACACCAUCUUGAGCACCUCCAUCUUCAUGAAUAACCCUUGCAUCCUCUGAGUGUUUUGAGCUUGGCUUCUAGUAAAUGGCCCUGAUGUAAUCCAUUUUACAUCAGCUCUUUUGAUGAAGGCUCAAGCCCUAACUACUAAAGUCCAAGCCAUGACGGCCCAAGCCAAUAGGGGUGUUGAGGGACAUGUGAACCCUAUUGUAAGCAAUAUGGCUUCUAGGUUGAGGGCCUUUUUAAGGAAGAAUCCUCUGGUGUUUCUAGGUUCCAAUGUGGCAGAGAAUCCCCAAGAGUUUGUGGAUGAGGUGUAUAAGGUAGUGAAUACUAUGGGGGUGACUUCUAUAGAAAAAGUGGAACUAGCCGCUUAUCAAUUGAAGUAUGUUGCCCAAGUUUGGUUCACUCAAUGGAAGAGUAAUAGGCCAUUAAGAGCAAGGCCUAUAGAUUAGGAAGUGUUCAAGGAAGCAUUCUUUCGUAGGUUCUUCCCCCGUGAGAAGAGGGAGGCUAAAGAGGAGGAAUUUAUCAAUCUUAGGCAAGGUAGCAUGAAUGUUCAAGAGUACUCUUUGAAAUUUACCCAAUUGUCUAAGUAUGCCCCAUCUUUAGUGUCAAACCCUAUGGAUGAGAUGAGUAGAUUUGUUAUGGGUGUAUCCCACAUAGUUGAGGAAGAGUGUCGUAUGGCAAUUUUCCAGGUUGACAUUGAAUAUUUCUAAGCUUAUGGUGUUUGCUCAACAAAUUGAGGAGUCCAAACUUAAGAAAAAGAAUAGGGAGAUGAAGAGAACUAGAUUCGAUGAACAAGGUCAACCAAGGUCUAAAAAGACAUCCUACGACCAAGAUUCCCCUAUGGUCAAUAAGGAUUGGGUGUCUAACCCUAACUCUCAAGGAGAAAAUGGAGGCGGAUCUUCUUUUGAAUGAUCUAUAUGUGCCAAGUGUGGGAAGCAACAUUUGGGUAAGUGUCUUGCCGGCACAGAUGGUUGCUUUGGGUGUGGAAAGAAGGGUCAUAAGAUAAGAGAUUGCCCAACACUCUCGGCCAAAGGAUGAGAGGCCAAACAAACUUCUCUUGAUGACCCGGAUCCUAAUUCUCCAAGGAAAAAUCGUUUCUAUGUGCUUCAAGCUAAAGAGGGCAAAUGAUAUCUUCCGGAUGAGGGCACCGGUAAGUGAUUGUUUAUUAUAGUUUUGAAUAUCUUGUUAGGGUCCCUAUGUUAUUUCUAUGUUAGCCUUAGUAAGGGUUUACUUCUAACGGAGAUAUGGUUUGUUAAAUAGAAAGGUUAUUGAGAGUGUUGAUAUCUUUAUCUCUUUCCUUCUAUUCCAAUUCAAGCUUGAGACCAAGAUUUCCUUGUAUCUUGUUUUAUGUUUCAGAGUCAUGUGUGAUUAUGUGUUUCCAUGAUCUCCUUAUGAUAUGCAUGUUCUUGAUGAAUUCAUGUCUAAAUGAGAAGAAUGAGUUUUUAUGAAUUAUGUUCCUCAUGUUGAUGUGCAUUUAGUAAGAGUUGCCUAUAUGCUUCAUGAGGUAAAUUGUUGAACAUGAAUAAAUAUGGUUUUGAGAGAAAUUGCAUAAUGUACCUAAUUAUGUCAUGAUGAGCAUGAUUUGAGUUGGAGAAGGUAAUUCCUCCAAUGAAAUGAGGAAUGCGGAAGUUUUCAUGCAUAAUGAGUUUGUAGAUAUAGUUCCUACUUUCUUGUGUUGCAUUGAGUAUGUUUGAGAUGGAGUUGAUGUUUCCUCCUAGUUUUGUGCAUUAAUUAUGAUGUUGCAUGUAUGAUGGGCUGCUAGUCUUGAGUCUUAAUUUCCUUACAGUGUUUAAAGUGUCAUUCGAGAAUGAAUGUUCCUAAGGGGGAGAUAAUGUAACGACCCGGAAAAUGAAUAGGUAGAAACUAGAGCCUAACGAGUUUGUUUUUGAGUUUAAUAUGAGGUUUGAAUGUGUAGAAUGAGUUCCUGAGAUUUGGUUGAGGGGUUUAGGGGUUAAACAUUAAGGUACAACUCCCCAAGGACCAAUCAAGGGUCCUUGAGGAGGACCCUAAAGCCUAACCCCCAAGACCCCAAAGAACCAAAAAGCUGCCAAAAAAAUCAUGUGAGCUACGGAUGGGACCUACACUCCGUAGGUCAAUCCAUCCACCGUGGAUGGCCAUCGUGGGUCAAGGUCCCAAAAUCCAAGUUGCAGCCACGAACCACAAUGUGCCAGUACGGCCCGUGGACCCACCCAUGGUCUGUGGGUGGGGGUUCGUACGUAACACCUGCAAUCUUUCUUGGACUCGGCCAAGGUAAGGGUCUUUUGGUAAAUUGGAGUAAUUAAAGUAUUUUAAGGCUUUUAAAGGUAUUAAAGACACUUUUUCAAUUCAUUACUUCAAAUCACAAAAUAGAAACCUCCCACUCUCUCCAAAUAUUCUCUCUCUAGAAAACACCAUUGGAGAAGAAAGAGUCAAGCUUUGAAGCUCAAGAUCUCACCUUUCACUCUAAAUUUUCGUGGAGUCUCUUCCAUAAAGGUCUGAUAGUCUUCAUCCUUGAUUAAUUUUCAUUCAAGGAGCCCUAUCAAAAUAUGAUUUCAAGUUUCCAAAAUCCCCCAAAAACCUAGGGUUUUCAAUCUAUGCAUGGGUUCAAUUCCAAAACGUUUUCAAGGUUUAAAUGUGAUGAAUUAUGAAUGGAUUGUUGAAUUAAUGAUGAAUUAUGGUGAAUUUACUCUAUGAACCCAUGUUUUCCCCAAAAUCCUAAGUUGUGAAUUGUGAUUGGGAAUUGAUUAAUCAUGAAAGUUUGUUUAAUUGUUAUGUUUAUAUUGAAUUAUUUAUUCAAUCGUGUUAAUUCCCUUAUCUAAUGAGGUAUUCUAUAUGUUUGGGUUGAUAAUGAUUUAUAGCCUCGGAGGGAAAUUUCAUGAAUGAUCUAUGUAGGAUCAUGAUGUGAAGUAUAUGUGUGUGAUCUCAAUGAACGUGUUAUUAUCAUGUUUAGAAUGUAAUUGUGUUAUUAUUGAAAGCAUGUUCUCAAUUUAAGACUUAUGAAUGAUGAUGAUAUAUGUGAAAGGUUAUUCUCACAUACACACACUCAUGAAUGAAUAAUGAAUGAAGUUUGUAUGAUUAUGAUAAUGAUGAUGUGUUGAUUGAACGGCUAUUCUCAAUUGUACACUAAUGAAUGAUAAUGACAUGUUUUGAAAGGAAUUUCUCACAACAGGGAGAUUCUUAGUUCAAAUGCUAUUCUCAUAUUUGAAUCUAUGAGUUAUCUAAUAAAUGAAUGUUGGGUUUGAGAUGGAUACUCAUCCAUAAGUUGAGGUGGGGUAUCUAGUAGCAAUCUCGUAUUCCACAAUAGGGAACCAAAGUAAUGAAUGUCAAGUACUCCGUGGGGCAUAAUGCUAAGCACCGAGUGGAUAUGAAUUGAGAUGGAUGUGCAUCCGUGAGUUGAGGCGGGGUAUCUAGUAUCAAUCUCUAUAUAUGUAUCCUCUUCCGUGAGUUGAGGCGACGUAUCUAUUAGCAAUCUCCAUAUCCCAUAACUAUGUCCCCAUAUAGGUUUAUUAGCUAGUGGAUCCACUUAAGCUAAAAAGCAACGUUACUUAGCCAAGUAGGAAUCCCUUAUCUGAUGAGGGUUACACCGGGAUUCCAUGAAUUGCUCACAUGGUCUAUGUCGGUUAAGGAUUACCCCCACAAAGAAUGUUAAUGAACUAUGGCUUCUCAAGAAUGCACUACUUAAUGUGGGUGGUAGUAUGGGAUUUCAUCCAUGCAUUGCACAAGUAGGCUUUAAGAGUAGUCAUGGUGUGUUCACUUAUGUCUUAAUGACUAAUGAAUGAAAGUGCUCUUAAUGAAGCUAAUGAAUAAUGUUGACUUAAAUGCUUAAUGUUAUGAUGCAUGCUUUACUCUGAAUGUAUUAUGAGUUACUUCUGUGUCAUGACUUAUUGAAUAUGAAUGUUCCUUGUCUAUGGGGGCUUCAAAGGAGUACUUAGUGUGAGUAGUAGUAUGGGAUGCUAUUCAUACAUUGCACAAGUAUGACUUAGAGUUGCCCCAGAUGACUGUCCUAAUGUAUUCUAAUGACUUAUGAAAUGUUUAUGUUCCUUAUGUAUGAGUAUUGUCUAUUGAUGAAAAGGAAGAAUGGUAAGUUCACUUUUGGUAGCCUUAAUGUGGUACUUAGUGUGGGUGGUGGUAUGGGACGCUAUUCAUACAUUGCACAAAGUAUAGCUUGGGGUUACUUGAGGUGAAAGCUCUAAUGUGAUUAAAUGACUUGUAUGUUGAUUAUGUUGUAUCUUAUGCCUUUUAUGCAAAAGUUCAUGAUAUUUCUCAAAUUGGCAUAAUGCAUGACUUUCAAACCAAAUGUCUGUUUUAAAGCAUGACUUUUGCAUGGCUAUCAUACUUAGUACAUUAAAAGUGCUAACCCAUAUUUAUUCAUUUUUAAAAAAGUGUAGGUUCCAGCAAGUGAGUUGAGUUCUUCUAGUUCAAGCUUGGAUUGAGUCUUCCAAGGCUAGUGGUAUGUCCUCAUGAUUUCGAGGAAACGUACUUUUGAUGUUCCAUGUCUUUCAUUGUAAUAGACUCUCUUUAGACUUUCUAUUGUAAAAGGUUGUGACCCUACUUUUGAUUCGAAGAUUAUUAUUAGAUGGCCAUUGUCGCACCCUAUUUUUCUCAAAGCGGACUUUUCUUUCGGAUGCACGACCUAACAACUCUUUUGGGAUUCGGAGGAUUGAAGAGUCGUCACCUAACGAAUUAAGGCACGUUAGGGCACCUAUCUAACCUAACUAAGUCUAGCUAAGGUCAACGAACCAGAGAUCAGGGUAAGGGUUCAAAUUACCUCGAGGGGAAGGUGUUAGGCAUCCCUCGAGGUCCACAAAUGUGGGUCCCGACCGUAUCUCAUGCAAUUUAUGUGGGGGUUACAAGUAGCAAUUAAGGUCACUUCAUUAUUUGGUUAUUUAUUAAACAUGCUUGCUAAGUGAUAACUAAUAUUAAACAAUUAAGAUCGACUCAUUUAUUAAUUUAAUUAAUUAAGCAUGCAAAAACUAGAUGAUAACAUAAGACUAAAUAAUUCGCACAGAUAAAAUUUUAAAAGAAGUAGUUAGAAGAUAGAAAGUAGACAAGUAUAUAAGCAAAUAUCAUUUUUAUUUUAAUUAAACUACCCCAAAUAAAUAUAAUUAUUAUAAACAUAUAAAAAGGAGAAGGAAAGGGAGAUUCUGUAGGACUUUAUGGAUCAGCACUCGACUUUUUUCUUUAACGUUUCAAUAAGCUUUCGUGUAGGGACAGACAAAACCAAGGUUUGUCUCUUUAAGCCUGAGUCGAUGUCAUCAUCUCCAUAGGGCCUAAACUACCCCUACCCCACCACCGCAUGCAUUUCGUCUCUAAAAGGUGCCUAACGUCCCCACUUAAGAUCCAAGAGGCAUUGGACUACUAUUAGGAAGGGUUAAGACUGAAAUAAACUCCUAAUAGGCCCACCUGGACACUAAGUCAAACAAGUUGGACAAACAUUUAGCACGCAAGGUCUCAUAUUGGCCUCUAGAUUUUAUUAAACACGCUGGCAAACACAAGUAAUAUGAAAGGUCGCAUGCGAGUGUGUGAGCAUAAAAAUAGAUAAAUAGCCAUUAUACGAUAUAAUAUUUUAAUGAAGAAGUAAAGUUAUCACCAUGCAAAAAGCAUUUAAGCAACUUAACUGACUUUUAAGAGUGGCGUAAUCAUUAUAGCAAAGAUAGAUUUAUUAGCUGAUUUUGAUUAGAAUAGCAAAUGUAAUAGGUAUAAUGCAAGUUAAUAUUUAAAACGGAGCUUGACUGCGUCUGGGAAUUUAUCUAAUAUGGGGGUAGAUUUUAAAUUUGAAUAUGCAGAGAAUAAUGUCACAGAAUCUAUCAAGCAGCGGGAAGAAAAUCUGCAAGGGAACUUUUAACAUGCUGGAAAUUAAUUUUAUCUAGUCCUAUAGGCAUAACUUUAUGGUGGCUUGGAUUUAUGCAUUUCUAAACAUUUUAUUGACAUGCUAAUAUUAAUCAAAACCUAAAGACAUGGCUUUUAGAUAGGUUAACAUGCUGACAGAAUAAACCGACUGAUUUGUUCACAAUUAUUAGAUUAUUAAAAAUCCUACAAGCAGUCAUCUAAAUGGAAAAACGCAUUUAUAUCACACAACAUUAUAACCGGACAACAUAAAUUCUAAUCUUACUCAAGAGCAUGAAUUCUAUAUAAAGAUAACCUAACUAUUGAAAAACCAAUAGACAUGCUUUGUAGGUAAUACCAAAAUUUAAGCCUAUAUGCAUGAAGUUCUAACCCAUUAACAUGCUGCAAAUUUAAUUAAAUACCACGAGGAUGAUAUCUACAAAUGGUAAAAGAAAACCAAUUUGAUACGAACAAGUUGUUAAAAUAUUAAUGCUUAUUUAUUUAUUAUAUAAUGGGGUUGAUAGUGAGCCAGAUAAUGCAAGGAACAAACAUUAUUCAUUGUUAAGAAUAAAAGGCGGAUAUGCAAAUCAUAUAAACAUAUUACAAUGAGUAGUCAAAUUAUCUCAACAUGUUUAAUUUUAAGCAUAAUCAGACAAAGCUUAAAUAG